Molecule: long non-coding RNA, 45159 nt
Filed under: Citrus sinensis (sweet orange)
Lineage: Eukaryota; Viridiplantae; Streptophyta; Magnoliopsida; Sapindales; Rutaceae
Description: long non-coding RNA (CSIN_LNC001019)
Source: RNAcentral
ACCGAGCAUCAUUAAGUCGGCAUGCAUAGACUAACUUAAUCAACACAUAAUUAGCACGCAGUAAUUUUAUUUAUUAAUUUUUCUUUGAGGAAAACAUAGUACUACAUAAAAGUAGACAAAGAAAAUCUCUUGCAUAUAUCAAGAGAUCUUAACAAUACUCACAUAAUUGACAAGUAAUAACAGUACCCAUCUUUUUAUUCAAUUGAAAAUAACAAAAAACAAUAAUGUCGUUUGCACUUAACCACUGUAAUCAGGGUUUCUCCCGUAUUGAGGGACAUUAAGAAGAUCAAGAUCAUUCACAACGUCGUCGUCACCGGCACUAAAAAGAAUUCCGAAACCCUCCGACCAAUUGCUCUUACCUGAAAGUUUCAUAUUAGAAAAUAAAUAUUCAUAAAUGCAUAUAUUAAAAUAAGAACUAUAAAUGAUAUCCAACUGAAAUCAGCCUAUAAACCUGCACAAGCCGUUUCCAUAUUCUUCAAAAUUAGAAAGAUCUCUGCUUUCGGGAUCAAACACAAAAAGUAAUCAACAGUUGCUUUUGCGAGUUCUUGCUUCUGAUUUAAUUAAAUAUACAUGCAUGCAUAUAUAUAGGGAGAAUAAAGUAACCAUUGCGGAUUACACCGAGACUAAUCAAAAUAUUAUUUUUGACUAUUCUUUCAAAGUCGCAUUCAUCCUCUCUACUUGGCCAUCUGUUCUGUGGAUGAUUUUCAUGCUGACGACAGUGCCAACGUGGUUGAUUAAUUACUAGCUAUUAGCAAUUAUAUUAUCUUUUCUUUCAAAAUAUAAAUUUAAUUUGGAAAACGUGGCCAGAACGUGGAUGAGUUUCAAAGAAAAAUGGUGCCGCCGGUGCUGAUUCUGAAGAAAGAGACGUGCCGCAUUCUUUGAAUUAUGAAGCCAAAAUUGCUGAAUUUGACAAAAGCCAAUAUCUGGAAAGGAGGCUCCAUUUGAGAGCAAUUGCAUCCCGAUUCUUUGUAUUCGACAGAAAAAGACAAAAGAAAGAAGAAAAAAUUGUGAGUUUGUGAAGUGGAAAAAAUCAAAUUUUCAUGUAUAACUGGUAUUUUCAAGUGUACUUUCUUAGCCAUCGAUGAGGACAGCAACUGAUCCCACCUCUUCCAAGCAGUAAAAGGUGGAUUCUCUUGUGACUCAUCAGAGGGAUUUUCAGCUUCUUGAAUAAGAAAUCGAUGCGGACAGAUUUAGUUUCUAUUAAGAAGACCUUCAAGUCCAUUAGCACAAACUGAAGAAAGGGAUCUGAGAUUUCCAGAGCGUAUAGUUAGAUCUGUCGAAUUUGAUUGGAUUUUUUAAUUAUAAAAGAUGAAGUAGAUUGAUUUGUGUUUGAAUUCGUGUUUGAGGAAGCCAUAGCAGAGUAGAUUGAGCUCUGAUACCAAGUUAAGAACCGAUAUUAUGGUGUUUGGACGCAGAGAAAAUGUGAGAGUCAGAGAGAAAAUGUAAGCCAGAGUUGAGAGAAAAUGAAGAAUGGAGAUGUAACAAAUUCUAGAAUAUUAUACUCGCUGACUCAGCCUACACAUUACCGUCUCUAACAAACUUAACAAACUCACACGUGUAACCAGCUCACUAAUUAUCUUAACAAUCUAAAUUAGAAAAUGUAAAGAAAAAAUAAUUAUUGAUUCAAUCAAAUUUAAAAGUUAAAUUUAUACAAAAUCUUAACGAUUAAAUUUAUGCAAAAUUCUAAUGACGUAAAAAGAACAAAUCGAGAGUUUUGAAAUCGACAAAUUAAACGUAAUUUUGGAGUUGACGGGCAUAAUCAGAGAAAAUAAGGGUUAAAUAAAUCUAGUUGAAUUGGCCGAAUGAAUGCUUCGAAUAUUUGCAAAUGCUCCUUUUCUUCUAGCAGAGUUUUGUUUGGAUCUGUCUUCGUUGGCCCAAGUUUAAGCAGAUUUUGUUUGUAUAGACUAUAGAAAAAUGAAAAACCAUCGUCUUUGGGUAUUAUAUUUGACACCGUUAGUAUUUCAUUUUAAACUUACCUUUCUUCAUCACUUGAUAUUGUUUAAGACACUGAAUUAGGAUUCAAGAGAAGAUAAUUAUAUGUUGAAUGGGUGUGCAAGAUAAUUAUAAAAUGAAAAUUUUUUGUACUCAUUUCUUUAAUACUACUAAUAAGGUUUGGGCUAUACGAAAAAAAAAAAAGAAUUUUAAGGGAAGUUAAUUAUGUGUUGAAUGGUUGUGCACGAUAAUUAUAAGAUGAUUUUUUUUUUUUUUUGUAUAACUAUAUGUUGAAUGCGCGUGCAAGAUAAUACAUGAUGAAAAAAUUGUCUUCAUUUCUUUAAAACUACUAAUAAGGUUUUGGGGUUAGGAAAUUUGUCGCACUGAAGAUUAAAAAAAAAGAUUUUGUCUUUUUUAAUUUAAUUAUUAGCAUCCUCUUAGUUGUAUAUAGUUUGUAGAAAAGUGUUUUAAUACUUGUAACAGAAAGAAAAUUGAAGUUAUCCAACCUUCGAAUAUUUCUUAUUCUAGGUAAAUUUCUAGUUAUUCUUCGUGAAAUGACAAUUUCAAAAUAUCCCAAAUUAUAGUAGAUUUCAACUCACUUUUUUUUUCCCAAAAAGAUAAGGAAAAAUGGAGCUGGAUUGAUGAAUUUUUUUUUUUUUUUUUUACAGAAAUGGGGGUAAGUUGAAAUUUACAAUAAUUUAAAAAUAUUUUGAAUUUGUCAUUUCACAAAAGGGAUAAUCUGAAAUUAAUCGUGAUAUUAACAAAUAAUGGUCAGAUGAUAGAGACCAUAUAUACUGACGAGAGGUUUUUAACUCUACAUUUAUUCAAAGACCAAAAUUCUAUAACUUUCGUUUCUUUUUAACAAAAUAAUUAACAAAUUAUUAGUGAUUAUGGCUGAAAGUCAAGUUGAUAAACCCACAAAACAACAUGGCUACUUUGACUAUUUUAAAAGCUGAAAUUAUAAAUUUACUCCGUAUAUUUAAAAAAUUAGGAUGAAGGAUCAGUUUCUAGUGCAAGAAUUAGCUAACCACUAUGCGGAGUUUGUUUAAAAAAAAGAACCAAGAAGAUCCAUCAUCAUUAAGUCAGCAAGCAUGGACUAAAUUAAUCAACACAUAAUUAGCACACCAUAAUUUUAUUUAUUAAUUUUCUUUUCAGUAAAACACAGAACUACAUGAAAGUAAAGAAAGAAAAGCUCUCGCAUGUAUCAAGAGAUCUUAACCAUGCUCACACAAUUGAUACAUAAUAAUAGUACCGUCUUGUUAUUCAAUUGAAUAUAACACAAAACAGCAAAGUUGCUUGCACUUAACCACUGUAAUCAGGGUUUCUUCCAUAUUGAGGGACAUUAAGAAGAUCAAGAUCAUUCACGAUGUCAUCAUCACCGGCACUAAAAAGAAUUCCGAAACCCUCCGACCAAUUGCUCUUACCUGAAAGUUUCAUAUUAGAAAAUAAAUAUUCAUAAAUGCAUAUAUUAAAAUAAGAGCUAUAAAUGAUAUCCAACUGAAAUUAGCCUAUAAACCUGCACAAGUAGUUUCCAUGAUCUUCAAAAUCAGAAAGAUCUCUGUUUCCGGAAUCAAAACUCAAAGAGUAAUCAAUAGUUGCUUUUGCGAGUUCUUGCUUCUGAUUCAAUAUAAUAUACACGCAUAUAUAUAGAGAGAAAGAAUGAAGUAACUAUUGCGGAUUACACCAAGACUAAUCAAAAUAUUAUUUUUUACUAUUCUUCCAACAUCGCAUUCAUUCUCCCUACUUGGCCACCUGUUCAGUGGAUGCUUUUCAUGCUGACGACAGUGCCAACGUGGGUGAUUAAUUACGUCUGUUGAAUAUUUGUUAACGUUGAAUUUUUCCGACAUUGAUAUAAAUGGCUCACUGAUUUAUAUGCAGAUAAUGUAUAUUAAUAUUACCUUCGGAUAGUGUUCAAUGAAUAAUGUGCGACAAAUCAAUAUAUAUCAUUUGGAAAAUUUUGGCCUUAAAUUUGUUGAAUUUUAGGGAGAAAAUUUGGCCUUUCUAUGCCUCCAGAAUCAAAAUUCAGAAGUAAACAAGUAGCUUUUGCAAGUUCUUGCUUCUGAUUUGAUACAGUAUAUAUGCAACGCAUUCGACCGCCCCCUCUGUUUGGCCGGAUGAUUUUCAUGCUGACGGCAGUGCCAAAGGUGGGUGAUUGGGGGGUAGUUAAACAAAUAGCGACAGUAUUAUCUUUCUUUCAAAAUAUAACUUUAAUUUGGAAAAUGUUGCCAAAACGUGAUUGAAUUUUAAAGAGAAAUGCUGCCGCCGUUGUUGAUUCUGAAGAAAGAGAGGUGCUGCAUUCUUUGGAUAAUGAAGCCAAAAUUGUUGGAUUCGAAAAAGCCAAUAUUUGGAAAAGAGGCUCCGUUUGAGAGCAAUUGCAUCCCAACUCUUUGUAUUGGAGAGAGAACGAGAGAAAAGAAAGAAGAAAAGGUUGAGUUUAUAAAGUGGGAAAAGUCAAAUUUUCAUGUAUAAGGGUUAAUUCCCACAGUGCUCGAGCAUUACCGAUAAUUAUUAGCUACUACAGUAUAACAAAUCGCACGGAAUUUUGUAAAUUGAUCAUCUAUGUUUUCAUAAAUUUUCAAAGCAUUUAUUGGAGAUAUUUUGAAUAAAAAAAUCCAAUAAAUAAACUACGUUACACUUUUUAAAUUUUAAUUGAGAAAAUGAUAGAUUACCCGUAGAUAAAGAUUCGAAUGGAGAAGAAUCAACAGUAUUCUAAGUCUUUGUGAAUAAAGGUUUAGCUCCUCUCACAAGACUGCUCGCAAGACUGACUAACGGAGUCUCUCACAAAGGAAAGAGGAGAUAAAUGCCAGAGUUCCUUCGAAGCUAUCAAGCUACAUUUCUUUUUUUUUUAUUCUCUCAUGAAUCAAUAGCUGAUCGAAAUACAUUUAUAGCUAUUAGCCUAAUGCUAAAUUUUGAGAGCUUGAUGAUGAAGGACAAAUUCAUCAUUUUCAAAGAUAUUGAAGGGAUUAUGCUCUUUCAUAACCAAUCAUUUGACAACUACACCUUUUAAGCUACAAUCACAAUAUAUAGAUCCUAAAGGGAGCGUUAAUCUAUUGGAUCCAAAUCCUCUAGUUAAAAGAUUAAUGAAAGAAAUGGAUUCUAUUUUUAACUAACUUAUUACUUUCACGCUAUUAUUUAUGUAAUUUUAUUAAUUCUAUUAUUAUAACUUAUAGGGCUUGGCUACUUUUCAUAAACUGUAAGUACAGCUCUCACAAAUUGAAUAAUUUACAUAUUCAAUAAAGUGCAGCUCUCAUAAAUGGGUCACAUAUUAUGCAAGGUAGCGUAUAUGACCCUCAUUAAUAACUUAUAAUUUAUCAAGAUUUUUUUUCAUAGGGUUUCAAUCCCAUCCUACUAAAGAAUUAAGUGAAAAGAAGGAAGCAACAUCAGCGGUGAUGUGAUGUAUUAGCGCACGUACGUAAACAGCCUGUCCUGUUUUUAAAAUUUUGGAAAACGCCAACCAGCUAUCUAUUUGGACGCCAAUGCUCAUUCAAUUCAUUUUCUACAAUGACAAAUGUCCAAAGUAUGCAGCAUUAUAUAGAAUCUAAUGCAGAUCAGGCUGAUUCAGGGACUCGUGUCAUUGAUUCUAAAUUUCUCUUUUAUCUUUCUAGGGGCUAGGUUUUCCCAUAUAACUAAGAAUCAAGAAGCACAAACGAAACUUGUAAUCACCAAAGUUUGCAAAUUGCAGCUUGUUGCGACACCGAAAAUGAGCUGGUGUCGGGCUGGUGCUAUUGUCGCUGCUAAGGUAAGAUCAGCUCUUACACUCGCAAAGGACUUCAAAAAUUGAUGUAUAUGUUGGUAUAUACGAGCUAGUUUUAGCUUUCUUAGUCCUGUAUAUUGUGUAACCAGGAAGGGAAGUAGCUAAUUAAAUUUAUCAGGUUCGUUUGAGGGAGCCUGAACCUCCAAACUACAAGUAGUUUUUUUCUUCCAAAAUCAGAGUUGUCCCUGAAGUAUUAUUCCAUCAACUUAAAUAAUGGGAAAUACAACCGCCUGUCCAUAACACUAGGCACGUGCCAACAAUUUAGCUACCUAAACAGCUUGAACUCUUAACUUUUUCAACAGCUAGCAAGACUGAUUCAAAGCAUAAAAGAGACAAGUAAAAUAAAUUAACUUGAACAAAAUAUAGGACGGGUAACAUAUGUUCAUAUUUUAAAAAGUCUAUUUCCAAUUUUUUCAGACGAAAAUCGAAGAAAGCUACCUGUUCAACUUCAAGACGACCAGAACGUGGGACUGAUAGUAGGCGUUACGGGAAUAGUAGGAAACAGAUUAGCCGAGAUAUUGCUCCUGGUGGCCCAUGGAAGUCUACGGACUUGCCCGACGAAGCCGAGAAUUGCGAGAUCAAUGGUGCCUUGAACCGUAUCGUGCUCCGUUCUGUAAUUCCAGACGCGCCCAAUGAGUACCAGCAAAUGAUGCAUCAAUUGAUACGAAGUAUGUAAUCGUAUGAUUUGAAAGGUCAAGACUUCGGUACAAAGUCAAACUGAUGGUAACGACUUAUUGAUUACCUUGCCGUCAAAUUAAACUAAGUAAUACUUCUUCCCAAUGCAAACUUCUCUAUGCCUAGUGCUCAACCAGGCACAAACUCAAAACCUUUGCACGUGUAAUAUGACGUGUGUCUACAUAUUGUUCGGUUUACGAGUUAGGCCGAUUUACCAAGAAUCUGUAAUUAUAAGCUUAUCAAAUAUCCACAUAAUGUGAAUGUCAAGCAGAUUGGUUGUUGAAGAUCCACCCUGAAAGUUACGGCUUGGUCACACCAAAUAUAACCUUUCUCUUAUCCUUCAAAUUAAUAAUCUUUGGAAAUAAAGCUUAUAGAAAAGGAAACAGUCAACAAAGAAGGCAACAUACAAAAGAAAGGUCUCUCCUGCAAAGUCAGAAAUUGUCAAGAGACUGGCCGCGAGAUCGGACAGUAAAGAAUCAAAUGUAGAAUUUUCAAGGUUUCACAAGCGCUAAAGCACGUGUGGAUCAGUGAGAGACACUUAUCAUUAGUUCCAAGGAAAUCAUAACAGUUCCAAUUUUCAAACUAAUUAAAAUCUUGUAUACAUCCGCAUGAAAGAUCAGGCUGUCAAUUAUUUCGUCAAACUGAUAGUCUGUAAAAGAAUGAUUUUGAAUUUACCCCUUCAGAUGAUGCUCCUGGAACUGUGCUUGAAUUUGAUGGUCUACUGAAAUUCCAGAUGAGCCCAUGGAUGAGAGUUUUUCCUUUAAAAUAGAUGCGGUGACAUCACAUCAGCAUGUCCGGUAGUAUAACAGCUCAUGAUAGUGCAACAAAAAAUGUUGAACAAAUCAUAUUUCAACAGAACAAUGUAAUGGAGGCAAAACACUCAACGUUCAAGGAAUUUGCCCACUUUUUCAUUCAGAGUGUAUGCACAAAUACAACACGCUAAAGAUGAAACGAAUGGUAACAUUAGAUGUUUCAAAAGUAUCCACCACAAGCUGUUAAUAAGAUCCAUAUAACCGGAGAGGCUUCCUGCUGUACCGUACAUCCGCCUUGGCCGUACAGCAGAAAUACUAAAAUUCUAUAUUUUUUUUUCUUUUAACAAAGUAAUAAACAAAUUAGCAGUGAUUAUGGCUGAAAGUUAAGUUGAUAAACCUACUAAACAACUUGACUAUUUUGACUAUUUUAAAAGCUGAAAUAUUAAAAGUUAAGAUGAAGGAUCAGUCUCUAGUUGCAAGAAUUCGCUAACCAAUAUGUGGAGUUUGUUACAUAAAAAGAUUCAAGAAGAUCGGGCAUCAUUAAGUCAGCAUGCAUAGACUAACUUAAUCAACACAUAAUUACCACACAAUAAUUUUAUUUAUUAAUUCUCCCUUUCAGGAAAAUACAAUACUACAUGAAAGUAAACAAAGGAAAUCUCUUGUAUAUAUCAAGAGAUCUUAACAAUACUCAUAUAAUUGACAAGUAAUAACGUGCCAAUCCUUUUAUUCAAUUAAAUAUAACACAAAGCAACAACAUUGCAUUCACUUAACCAGUGUGAUCAGCAUUCCUUCCGUAUUGAGGGACAGCAAGAAGAUCGAGAUCAUUCGCAAUAUCAUCAUCAACAUUAAUGCUAAAGAAAAUAACUGCAAAACCCUCUGACCAAUCGUUCUUACCUGAAAUUUCAUAUUAAAAACACAUAUUCAUAAAUACAGACAUUGAAAUAAGAACUAUAAAUUAAAUUAUAUUCAGUUGAAAUUAGCCUAUAUACCUGCACAAAUAGUUUCCAUAUUCCUUAAAUCGGAAAGAUCUCUACUUUAGGAAUCAAAACUCAAAAAGUAACCAAUAGUUGCUUUUGCAAGUUCUUGCUUCUGAUUUAAUGUAAUAUACAUGUAUAUAUACGUGGAGAGAAUGAAGUAACCAUUGCGACAAAUCAAUAUAUUUCAUUUGGAAAAAUUUGGCCUUAAAUUUGUUGAAUUUUAAAGAGAAAAUUUGGCCUUUCUAUGCUUCCAAUCAACUUAAAAAACUAAAAUUGGAAGAUAGAGAGCCGUAAACUAAAAGUUUUGUCCCUGAAAAUGAAGACACAUAAACGAAUCAUGCCCCAAUCAACUUAACAACACGUAGAAAUCGUAAAGCAUAGACCGAGAAUGAAAAAGUAUAACCUCAAGAAAAGGCGUUAAUUCCCACAGUGCUCGAGCAUUACGGAUCAUGCUUAGCUGGUAAAGUAUAACAAAUCGUACGGAAUCUUGUAAAUUGAUCAUUUAUAUUUUUGUAAAUUUUCAAAUCAUUUAUUUGAGAUAUUUUUAAUAACAUAAUCCAAUAAAUAAACUACGUUACAUUUUUUUAAUUUUAAUUGAAAAAAUGAUAGAUUGAUUAGAUUCACUGUAGAUAUAGAUUUGAAUGGAGAAGAGUCAACAUACAAAAGAAAAGUCUCCCCUGCAAUGUCAGAAAUUGUCAAGAUACUGUGGCUGCGAGAUCGGACAAUAAAGAAUCAAAUGUAGAAUUUUCAAGGUUUCACAAGCACUAAAGCACGUGUGGAUCAGUGAGAGACACUUAUCAUUAGUUCCAAGGAAAUCAUAACAGUUCCAAUUUUCAAACCAAUUAAAAUCUUGUAGACAUCCGCAUGAAAGAUCAGGCUGUCAAUUUAUUAUUUCGUCAAACUGAUGGUCUGUAAAAGAAUGAUUUUGAAUUUACCCCUUCAGAUGAUGCUCCUGGAACUGUGCUUGAAUUUGAUGGUCUACUGAAAUUCCAGAUGAGCCCAUGGAUGAGAGUUUUUCCUUUAAAAUAGAUGCGGUGACAUCACAUCAGCAUGUCCGGUAGUAUAACAGCUCAUGAUAGUGCAACAAAAAAUGUUGAACAAAUCAUAUUUCAACAGAACAAUGUAAUGGAGGCAAAACACUCAACGUUCAAGGAAUUUGCCCACUUUUUCAUUCAGAGUGUAUGCACAAAUACAACACGCUAAAGAUGAAACGAAUGGUAACAUUAGAUGUUUCAAAAGUAUCCACCACAAGCUGUUAAUAAGAUCCAUAUAACCGGAGAGGCUUCCUGCUGUACCGUACAUCCGCCUUGGCCGUACAGCAGAAAUACUAAAAUUCUAUAUUUUUUUUUCUUUUAACAAAGUAAUAAACAAAUUAGCAGUGAUUAUGGCUGAAAGUUAAGUUGAUAAACCUACUAAACAACUUGACUAUUUUGACUAUUUUAAAAGCUGAAAUAUUAAAAGUUAAGAUGAAGGAUCAGUCUCUAGUUGCAAGAAUUCGCUAACCAAUAUGUGGAGUUUGUUACAUAAAAAGAUUCAAGAAGAUCGGGCAUCAUUAAGUCAGCAUGCAUAGACUAACUUAAUCAACACAUAAUUACCACACAAUAAUUUUAUUUAUUAAUUCUCCCUUUCAGGAAAAUACAAUACUACAUGAAAGUAAACAAAGGAAAUCUCUUGUAUAUAUCAAGAGAUCUUAACAAUACUCAUAUAAUUGACAAGUAAUAACGUGCCAAUCCUUUUAUUCAAUUAAAUAUAACACAAAGCAACAACAUUGCAUUCACUUAACCAGUGUGAUCAGCAUUCCUUCCGUAUUGAGGGACAGCAAGAAGAUCGAGAUCAUUCGCAAUAUCAUCAUCAACAUUAAUGCUAAAGAAAAUAACUGCAAAACCCUCUGACCAAUCGUUCUUACCUGAAAUUUCAUAUUAAAAACACAUAUUCAUAAAUACAGACAUUGAAAUAAGAACUAUAAAUUAAAUUAUAUUCAGUUGAAAUUAGCCUAUAUACCUGCACAAAUAGUUUCCAUAUUCCUUAAAUCGGAAAGAUCUCUACUUUAGGAAUCAAAACUCAAAAAGUAACCAAUAGUUGCUUUUGCAAGUUCUUGCUUCUGAUUUAAUGUAAUAUACAUGUAUAUAUACGUGGAGAGAAUGAAGUAACCAUUGCGACAAAUCAAUAUAUUUCAUUUGGAAAAAUUUGGCCUUAAAUUUGUUGAAUUUUAAAGAGAAAAUUUGGCCUUUCUAUGCUUCCAAUCAACUUAAAAAACUAAAAUUGGAAGAUAGAGAGCCGUAAACUAAAAGUUUUGUCCCUGAAAAUGAAGACACAUAAACGAAUCAUGCCCCAAUCAACUUAACAACACGUAGAAAUCGUAAAGCAUAGACCGAGAAUGAAAAAGUAUAACCUCAAGAAAAGGCGUUAAUUCCCACAGUGCUCGAGCAUUACGGAUCAUGCUUAGCUGGUAAAGUAUAACAAAUCGUACGGAAUCUUGUAAAUUGAUCAUUUAUAUUUUUGUAAAUUUUCAAAUCAUUUAUUUGAGAUAUUUUUAAUAACAUAAUCCAAUAAAUAAACUACGUUACAUUUUUUUAAUUUUAAUUGAAAAAAUGAUAGAUUGAUUAGAUUCACUGUAGAUAUAGAUUUGAAUGGAGAAGAGUCAACAUACAAAAGAAAAGUCUCCCCUGCAAUGUCAGAAAUUGUCAAGAUACUGUGGCUGCGAGAUCGGACAAUAAAGAAUCAAAUGUAGAAUUUUCAAGGUUUCACAAGCACUAAAGCACGUGUGGAUCAGUGAGAGACACUUAUCAUUAGUUCCAAGGAAAUCAUAACAGUUCCAAUUUUCAAACCAAUUAAAAUCUUGUAGACAUCCGCAUGAAAGAUCAGGCUGUCAAUUUAUUAUUUCGUCAAACUGAUGGUCUGUAAAAGAAUGAUUUUGAAUUUACCCCUUCAGAUGAUGCUCCUGGAACUGUGCUUGAAUUUGAUGGUCUACUGAAAUUCCAGAUGAGCCCAUGGAUGAGAGUUUUUCCUUUAAAAUAGAUGCGGUGACAUCACAUCAGCAUGUCCGGUAGUAUAACAGCUCAUGAUAGUGCAACAAAAAAUGUUGAACAAAUCAUAUUUCAACAGAACAAUGUAAUGGAGGCAAAACACUCAACGUUCAAGGAAUUUGCCCACUUUUUCAUUCAGAGUGUAUGCACAAAUACAACACGCUAAAGAUGAAACGAAUGGUAACAUUAGAUGUUUCAAAAGUAUCCACCACAAGCUGUUAAUAAGAUCCAUAUAACCGGAGAGGCUUCCUGCUGUACCGUACAUCCGCCUUGGCCGUACAGCAGAAAUACUAAAAUUCUAUAUUUUUUUUUCUUUUAACAAAGUAAUAAACAAAUUAGCAGUGAUUAUGGCUGAAAGUUAAGUUGAUAAACCUACUAAACAACUUGACUAUUUUGACUAUUUUAAAAGCUGAAAUAUUAAAAGUUAAGAUGAAGGAUCAGUCUCUAGUUGCAAGAAUUCGCUAACCAAUAUGUGGAGUUUGUUACAUAAAAAGAUUCAAGAAGAUCGGGCAUCAUUAAGUCAGCAUGCAUAGACUAACUUAAUCAACACAUAAUUACCACACAAUAAUUUUAUUUAUUAAUUCUCCCUUUCAGGAAAAUACAAUACUACAUGAAAGUAAACAAAGGAAAUCUCUUGUAUAUAUCAAGAGAUCUUAACAAUACUCAUAUAAUUGACAAGUAAUAACGUGCCAAUCCUUUUAUUCAAUUAAAUAUAACACAAAGCAACAACAUUGCAUUCACUUAACCAGUGUGAUCAGCAUUCCUUCCGUAUUGAGGGACAGCAAGAAGAUCGAGAUCAUUCGCAAUAUCAUCAUCAACAUUAAUGCUAAAGAAAAUAACUGCAAAACCCUCUGACCAAUCGUUCUUACCUGAAAUUUCAUAUUAAAAACACAUAUUCAUAAAUACAGACAUUGAAAUAAGAACUAUAAAUUAAAUUAUAUUCAGUUGAAAUUAGCCUAUAUACCUGCACAAAUAGUUUCCAUAUUCCUUAAAUCGGAAAGAUCUCUACUUUAGGAAUCAAAACUCAAAAAGUAACCAAUAGUUGCUUUUGCAAGUUCUUGCUUCUGAUUUAAUGUAAUAUACAUGUAUAUAUACGUGGAGAGAAUGAAGUAACCAUUGCGACAAAUCAAUAUAUUUCAUUUGGAAAAAUUUGGCCUUAAAUUUGUUGAAUUUUAAAGAGAAAAUUUGGCCUUUCUAUGCUUCCAAUCAACUUAAAAAACUAAAAUUGGAAGAUAGAGAGCCGUAAACUAAAAGUUUUGUCCCUGAAAAUGAAGACACAUAAACGAAUCAUGCCCCAAUCAACUUAACAACACGUAGAAAUCGUAAAGCAUAGACCGAGAAUGAAAAAGUAUAACCUCAAGAAAAGGCGUUAAUUCCCACAGUGCUCGAGCAUUACGGAUCAUGCUUAGCUGGUAAAGUAUAACAAAUCGUACGGAAUCUUGUAAAUUGAUCAUUUAUAUUUUUGUAAAUUUUCAAAUCAUUUAUUUGAGAUAUUUUUAAUAACAUAAUCCAAUAAAUAAACUACGUUACAUUUUUUUAAUUUUAAUUGAAAAAAUGAUAGAUUGAUUAGAUUCACUGUAGAUAUAGAUUUGAAUGGAGAAGAGUCAACAUACAAAAGAAAAGUCUCCCCUGCAAUGUCAGAAAUUGUCAAGAUACUGUGGCUGCGAGAUCGGACAAUAAAGAAUCAAAUGUAGAAUUUUCAAGGUUUCACAAGCACUAAAGCACGUGUGGAUCAGUGAGAGACACUUAUCAUUAGUUCCAAGGAAAUCAUAACAGUUCCAAUUUUCAAACCAAUUAAAAUCUUGUAGACAUCCGCAUGAAAGAUCAGGCUGUCAAUUUAUUAUUUCGUCAAACUGAUGGUCUGUAAAAGAAUGAUUUUGAAUUUACCCCUUCAGAUGAUGCUCCUGGAACUGUGCUUGAAUUUGAUGGUCUACUGAAAUUCCAGAUGAGCCCAUGGAUGAGAGUUUUUCCUUUAAAAUAGAUGCGGUGACAUCACAUCAGCAUGUCCGGUAGUAUAACAGCUCAUGAUAGUGCAACAAAAAAUGUUGAACAAAUCAUAUUUCAACAGAACAAUGUAAUGGAGGCAAAACACUCAACGUUCAAGGAAUUUGCCCACUUUUUCAUUCAGAGUGUAUGCACAAAUACAACACGCUAAAGAUGAAACGAAUGGUAACAUUAGAUGUUUCAAAAGUAUCCACCACAAGCUGUUAAUAAGAUCCAUAUAACCGGAGAGGCUUCCUGCUGUACCGUACAUCCGCCUUGGCCGUACAGCAGAAAUACUAAAAUUCUAUAUUUUUUUUUCUUUUAACAAAGUAAUAAACAAAUUAGCAGUGAUUAUGGCUGAAAGUUAAGUUGAUAAACCUACUAAACAACUUGACUAUUUUGACUAUUUUAAAAGCUGAAAUAUUAAAAGUUAAGAUGAAGGAUCAGUCUCUAGUUGCAAGAAUUCGCUAACCAAUAUGUGGAGUUUGUUACAUAAAAAGAUUCAAGAAGAUCGGGCAUCAUUAAGUCAGCAUGCAUAGACUAACUUAAUCAACACAUAAUUACCACACAAUAAUUUUAUUUAUUAAUUCUCCCUUUCAGGAAAAUACAAUACUACAUGAAAGUAAACAAAGGAAAUCUCUUGUAUAUAUCAAGAGAUCUUAACAAUACUCAUAUAAUUGACAAGUAAUAACGUGCCAAUCCUUUUAUUCAAUUAAAUAUAACACAAAGCAACAACAUUGCAUUCACUUAACCAGUGUGAUCAGCAUUCCUUCCGUAUUGAGGGACAGCAAGAAGAUCGAGAUCAUUCGCAAUAUCAUCAUCAACAUUAAUGCUAAAGAAAAUAACUGCAAAACCCUCUGACCAAUCGUUCUUACCUGAAAUUUCAUAUUAAAAACACAUAUUCAUAAAUACAGACAUUGAAAUAAGAACUAUAAAUUAAAUUAUAUUCAGUUGAAAUUAGCCUAUAUACCUGCACAAAUAGUUUCCAUAUUCCUUAAAUCGGAAAGAUCUCUACUUUAGGAAUCAAAACUCAAAAAGUAACCAAUAGUUGCUUUUGCAAGUUCUUGCUUCUGAUUUAAUGUAAUAUACAUGUAUAUAUACGUGGAGAGAAUGAAGUAACCAUUGCGACAAAUCAAUAUAUUUCAUUUGGAAAAAUUUGGCCUUAAAUUUGUUGAAUUUUAAAGAGAAAAUUUGGCCUUUCUAUGCUUCCAAUCAACUUAAAAAACUAAAAUUGGAAGAUAGAGAGCCGUAAACUAAAAGUUUUGUCCCUGAAAAUGAAGACACAUAAACGAAUCAUGCCCCAAUCAACUUAACAACACGUAGAAAUCGUAAAGCAUAGACCGAGAAUGAAAAAGUAUAACCUCAAGAAAAGGCGUUAAUUCCCACAGUGCUCGAGCAUUACGGAUCAUGCUUAGCUGGUAAAGUAUAACAAAUCGUACGGAAUCUUGUAAAUUGAUCAUUUAUAUUUUUGUAAAUUUUCAAAUCAUUUAUUUGAGAUAUUUUUAAUAACAUAAUCCAAUAAAUAAACUACGUUACAUUUUUUUAAUUUUAAUUGAAAAAAUGAUAGAUUGAUUAGAUUCACUGUAGAUAUAGAUUUGAAUGGAGAAGAGUCAACAUACAAAAGAAAAGUCUCCCCUGCAAUGUCAGAAAUUGUCAAGAUACUGUGGCUGCGAGAUCGGACAAUAAAGAAUCAAAUGUAGAAUUUUCAAGGUUUCACAAGCACUAAAGCACGUGUGGAUCAGUGAGAGACACUUAUCAUUAGUUCCAAGGAAAUCAUAACAGUUCCAAUUUUCAAACCAAUUAAAAUCUUGUAGACAUCCGCAUGAAAGAUCAGGCUGUCAAUUUAUUAUUUCGUCAAACUGAUGGUCUGUAAAAGAAUGAUUUUGAAUUUACCCCUUCAGAUGAUGCUCCUGGAACUGUGCUUGAAUUUGAUGGUCUACUGAAAUUCCAGAUGAGCCCAUGGAUGAGAGUUUUUCCUUUAAAAUAGAUGCGGUGACAUCACAUCAGCAUGUCCGGUAGUAUAACAGCUCAUGAUAGUGCAACAAAAAAUGUUGAACAAAUCAUAUUUCAACAGAACAAUGUAAUGGAGGCAAAACACUCAACGUUCAAGGAAUUUGCCCACUUUUUCAUUCAGAGUGUAUGCACAAAUACAACACGCUAAAGAUGAAACGAAUGGUAACAUUAGAUGUUUCAAAAGUAUCCACCACAAGCUGUUAAUAAGAUCCAUAUAACCGGAGAGGCUUCCUGCUGUACCGUACAUCCGCCUUGGCCGUACAGCAGAAAUACUAAAAUUCUAUAUUUUUUUUUCUUUUAACAAAGUAAUAAACAAAUUAGCAGUGAUUAUGGCUGAAAGUUAAGUUGAUAAACCUACUAAACAACUUGACUAUUUUGACUAUUUUAAAAGCUGAAAUAUUAAAAGUUAAGAUGAAGGAUCAGUCUCUAGUUGCAAGAAUUCGCUAACCAAUAUGUGGAGUUUGUUACAUAAAAAGAUUCAAGAAGAUCGGGCAUCAUUAAGUCAGCAUGCAUAGACUAACUUAAUCAACACAUAAUUACCACACAAUAAUUUUAUUUAUUAAUUCUCCCUUUCAGGAAAAUACAAUACUACAUGAAAGUAAACAAAGGAAAUCUCUUGUAUAUAUCAAGAGAUCUUAACAAUACUCAUAUAAUUGACAAGUAAUAACGUGCCAAUCCUUUUAUUCAAUUAAAUAUAACACAAAGCAACAACAUUGCAUUCACUUAACCAGUGUGAUCAGCAUUCCUUCCGUAUUGAGGGACAGCAAGAAGAUCGAGAUCAUUCGCAAUAUCAUCAUCAACAUUAAUGCUAAAGAAAAUAACUGCAAAACCCUCUGACCAAUCGUUCUUACCUGAAAUUUCAUAUUAAAAACACAUAUUCAUAAAUACAGACAUUGAAAUAAGAACUAUAAAUUAAAUUAUAUUCAGUUGAAAUUAGCCUAUAUACCUGCACAAAUAGUUUCCAUAUUCCUUAAAUCGGAAAGAUCUCUACUUUAGGAAUCAAAACUCAAAAAGUAACCAAUAGUUGCUUUUGCAAGUUCUUGCUUCUGAUUUAAUGUAAUAUACAUGUAUAUAUACGUGGAGAGAAUGAAGUAACCAUUGCGGAUUACUCUAAGACUAAUCAAAAUAUUAUUUUUUUACUAUUCUUCCAACAUCGCGUUCAUCUUCUCUACUUGGCCAUCUGUUCAGUGGAUGAUUUUCAUGCUGACGACAGUGCCAACGUGGAUGAUUAAUUACAUCUAUUGAAUAUUUGUUAACGUUGAAUAUUUCCUACAUUGAUAUAAAUGGCUCACUGAAUUAUAAGCAGAUAAUAUAUAUUAAUAUUACCUUUGAAUAAUAUUCAAUGAAUGAUGUGUGACAAAUUAAUAUAUUUUCAUUUGGAAAAUUUGGUCCUUCUAUGCUUCCAGAAUCAAAAUUCAAAAGUAAAUAAAUGCAACGCAUUCGAUCAUCCUCUCUGUUUGGCAGGAUGAUUUUCACGCUGACGGCAGUGCCAAAGGCGGGCGAUUGGAGCGUAGUUAAACAAAUAGCGGUAAUAUUAUCUUUUAUUUCAAAAUAUAAAUUUAAUUUGGAAAAUGUGACCAAAAUGUGGUUGAAUUUUAAAGAGAAAUGGUGCCGCCUUCGUUUUUUUUUUUUUUUUUUUUUUGAAAAGAAAGUAUGCCUUUCAAUAGAUUAACUGGAAAACAAAAUACAUGAUGUCUGUUGGAAAUUCAUCCAACCAUAUUGCAGUUUCGUUCCUUCGCAGGGCUAACUUAGCCAAAGCAUGAGCUAUGCCAUUACAAGUUCUGGGGAUAUGUUGAGCUUUGAAAUUCUGGAAAUUCUUCCUAUUUUCCAGAAUGGAAGAAUUUCCAGAAUUUCAGAGAUCACCCAGAAAAUUUCAGACAUGUUACUUGUCCUCUUGGUAACUAGUUCAACUACUUCUAAUGAAUCAGAUUCAAAAAUCCCAGCAGUAACACCAACUCUUGAUGCUACCUGUAAGCCCCACUCCAUGGCUGCAGUAAUAUUAUCUUUUAUUUCAAAAUAUAAAUUUAAUUUGGAAAAUGUGACCAAAAUGUGGUUGAAUUUUAAAGAGAAAUGGUGCCGCCUUUGUUGAUGAUUCUGAAGAAAGAGAAGUGCCGCAUUCUUUGAAUUAUGAAGCCAAAAUUGCUGAAUUUGAAAAAGUCAAUAUUUGGAAAGGAGGCUCCAUUUGAGAGCAAGCGCAUCCCGAUUCUUUGUAUUCGACAGAGAAAGACAAAAGAAAGAAGAAAAAGUUGUGAGUUUAUAAGGCGGGAAUAGUCAAAUUUUCAAGUAUAAGUGUUAUUUUCUCGGUUUUGGCUUUUGAAUGAGAGAGAAGUUGUUUUUCUCCUAGCAUAUAAGGGAGAGAAAAUAAUUAUUCACUCCUUGUAUUUAAAGAGAAGCGCUGUAAUCCUUAUUUAAAUUGUGAAAUCCCUUUACGUUUAUUUAUUUGGAGUUUUUCCAUGCAAUAUUUAUAUGUCCUAUUUUUACCCCCAUUAUUCAUAAAUUUUACUUCAGUGGUGUGUCAAUCUUAAGCGGAUUUUGGCUAACAAAAAAGUGUUUGUGUAUUUCUAAUAAAGUCGGAAAGAUCAUGCGGUGGGUAAUAAUUUCCCUAUUUUAAAAAACUAAAAUUGGAAGAUAGAGAGCCGUAAACUAAAAGUUUUGUCCCUGAAAAUGAAGACACAUAAACGAAUCAUGCCCCAAUCAACUUAACAACACGUAGAAAUCGUAAAGCAUAGACCGAGAAUGAAAAAGUAUAACCUCAAGAAAAGGCGUUAAUUCCCACAGUGCUCGAGCAUUACGGAUCAUGCUUAGCUGGUAAAGUAUAACAAAUCGUACGGAAUCUUGUAAAUUGAUCAUUUAUAUUUUUGUAAAUUUUCAAAUCAUUUAUUUGAGAUAUUUUUAAUAACAUAAUCCAAUAAAUAAACUACGUUACAUUUUUUAAAUUUUAAUUGAGAAAAUGAUAGAUUCUAGGGAUGGGGAAACUCAAUCUAACCUGAUUGACCCAACCCAACCCAAUCUAAUCUAAUCCAAUUUAAUUUUUACGGGUUGAGUGGGUUAUUAUAGGUUAAUUUGAUCAAUUUUUCGAACUCAAUCAAUAAUUAAGUUGGGUUGGGUUAAUUAUGAUGAACUCAUGUAACUCAACUCAACCCACAUAAAUAAUAAUAAUAAUAAUAAUAAUAAUAAUAAGAUAAUUCUCAAUUGCAAAAUCCUAAAAAUCGAAACCACUAAUCUAUUUUUUUAUCCUUUUUAUUCUUUUAUAAAAGAGAUUAAUUUGUUCUUAUAUCUACUACUCUAGAUUCUAACUCUAAACCUAAAAUCUCUCUCUUAAAUCUCAAUUCUCAAUCAACUAAGGUACUUUUUUUAUUUAUUCAUGUUAUAUUAUUUUAGUUUUCUUUAUCAAAUACUAGAUAGUGAAUAGAAUUUUCAUAAUAUAAUAUUUUUAUUUUUUAUUUCAAUAAGUUUUAUUUUAACUUUCGUAUAUUUUUCUUUAUUUAAUUUUUAAUUUUAAUUUGACUUCAAAUCUUCAACCCAACCCAAUAAUUUAAGGGUUGGAUUAGAUUGGGUUGAACAUGAUUAUUUAAUUAGAUUGGGUUGGGUUUAUCUCAACACAUUCAAUAAUGGGUUUAUCUCAACCCAUUCAAUGGGUUGGGUUGAGUUUUCACAAACCUUAUCCAAUCAAACCCAUAUCCACCCCUAAUAGAUUCAUUGUAGAUAUAGAUUUGAAUGGAGAAGAGUCAACAAUAUUCUAAGUCUUUGUAAAUAAAGGUUUUGAGCUAAUUAAAAACUGAUCCUUCCACAAGACUGAUUAAUAUAUUCUCUCACAAAGGAAAGAGGAGAUAAACGCUAGAGUUCCUUUGAAGCUAUCAAACUACUUUUUUUUUUUGUUCUCUCAUGAAUCAAUAACUGACUUGAGCGUCGAAAUACAUUUACAAAUAUCAGCCUAAUGCUAAAUUUUGAGAGCUUGAUGAUGAAGGAAAAAUUCGUCAUUUUCAAAGAUAUUGAAGGAAUUAUGCUCUUUCAUAACCAAUCACUUUGCAACUAUGCCUUUUAAACUGCAAUCACAGUAUACAGAUCCUAAAGGGAGCGUCAAUCUAUUGGAUCCAAAUCCUCUGGUUAAGAGAUUAAUGAAAGAGACGGAUUCUAUUUUUAACUAAUUUGUCACUUUCACGCUAUUCUUCAUCUAAUUUUAUUAAUUCUAUUAUUACAAUUUAUAGGAUUUGGCUACUUUUCAUAAUCUGUAAGUACAGCUCUCACAAAAUGAAUAAUUUACAUAAUCAAUAAAGUGCAGCUCUCACAAAUGGGUCACAUAUUAUGCAAGGUAGCGUAUGUGACCCUCAUUUAAUAACUUAUAAUGCGGUCUAAUUUAUCAAGAUCUUUUUCAUAGGGUUUCAAUCCCAUCCUACUAAAGAAUUAAAUGAAAAGAAGAAAGAAACAUCAGCGGUGAUAUGAUGUAUUAGCGUACGUACUGUUGAACCUAGACCAGAUUUAGUAUCCAAUCAAAGAAUCUCCAGGAUCUAGCUGAUCUCUCUAAUCAAGACCUAAAGAAUGGCUAAUCAAAUCCACACAAAAGAAUCACCCAGAAACAGUAUACAAAGAACAACAAAUAUAAGUGGUUCGGCUAGAGACAGCCUACAUCCACUGAAGAACAGAGCAACAACUUUUAUUCAAUAACCAAGAACAAGCUACAAGUUUUGAGACGAAGUUACAAGCAACACUCUCCCUGAUUUCCCAGUCCUUAAGACUACUUAUACUAGCUUAAAGUCCUUUACAAAGACCCCCUGUUAACCAGCUGUAAUCUGGGUUUGUUAGCUAACAAACCCAGAAUUUUCCCGCCUGUUGUAACUGAUCUUAACAGCCUUGAGGACACGUGUUGAAUCUUUACAAAACAGUGACCCCAAAACGACAGUCUUCAAUGCCGUAUAGAGUAAGUGGAAGCACGUGACAUUUACGUGCUUCACUUAAAGCUUUUGGUUGACGAUACAAGUUUGUCGUACAGGCUUGUAUUCUUUACAGCUGACAUGUCGUAUACCAACAUGACCACAAAUUGACAUGACGGUUGAUCUCCUGGAAAUCAGUUUAAAGCUCAUACUUUAACAGUAAACAGUUUAUCUUGUUUUCUAAAGGAAAACAGCUUGUCUUUACUACAGUAGUAAAGAUAGGAAAAGAAAAACGCAGAAUGAAUAGUUCUGACAUGGAAAAAAUUAGGAUUAUUAUGUAAUCCGCAUUGAUCAUAACAACCAGCGAACCAUAGGAGAAACCAAGUUCCUUUAAAUUGAUUAUUCUCCUUGAAAAUGAGGUAAUUUUUGGGUGGCGCAUUCGAAAAUGAAGCGAUGUUCAGAAUGGAUGAAUGUUUUGCUCCGGCAAUCUCGUUGGCUGCUUCAGCCUGGGCUCCAAAAGAAUCAAACUCUUGAUUCGCAUAAAGCGGAAAUUCACCUUCAGUUUUCGAUUUCUUUAAUUUUUCUUGUAAUUUUAGAAGUAUUUAAAUAAAAUAAAAUGUUUUUAAAUAAAAUAAAAUAAAAUGGAGCUAUUUUGUGUAUUGUGCCGCACACUAUUACGGAUGUUAUCGAAAAUAAUAAUUUUAGAGCCACAAACAUGCGGGGGUAUAAAUAUAAUUAUAUACCAGCUUUGUUUUAAAUUUAAUUAUGAAUUGAGUGUGUAAAUGUAUAUGACCGCUUAUCUGGUGAGGAUUCUCACACUUUAAUAAAGUGCUGGAAAUCUAUUAUGCCACGUGGUAUAACAAUGUAAUGCUAUUACACUGUUACGCUAUAUAGUAUGACAAUAUAAUUCUAUUACGCAGUUACACCAUAUAGCAUAGCGUAACAGCUUUCUUAAACUUUAAUAUAGUCCUAAUUUCUAGACUGGAUGAUGUAAAUAUUACUUUCUCCGUUAAGCGAUUUCAUCCCCAUUGCCGUGUGUCGUUUACUGUGGAGAUGCUAGGGUGGUUAAUCCGGAUAUGUAUCAUCAAAAGUGGAAGCUAAUAUCUGUAGUAUGUGGAGAUAUUCCAUUGAAUAUGAAGGCAGGGAAAAUAUAUGAUUAAAGGUGGUUCAAAGAAGUACGAUGUUCAAUUUUUCCCCAAAAAUCACCAAAAGGAAAGCUGAUUCAAUGAAGUUUAGAAGUUAAAUUUAUACAAAAUUUUAAAGACUAAAAAAAUUGAAUAGAUAAUCGAAACGGACAAAUUGAGGAUAAUUUUAGAAUUGACGAGGCGUAAUGAGAGAAUUUCGGGUUACUUCGAAUUUGGGCUAACAACACUGAUACUUAGAUCAUCUCCAAAAGACUCUUCAAAUAAAAUUUUACUUCUUAUUUGAAAAGUUGUAUCAAUAUUAAACACUCUAAAAGACACGUUAAUUUAAAUUCUUCAAAUAAGAUUUGUUUCUCACUCUUCAAUAUUGCCGAGUGAGUUUCUCCCUCUUCCAUUAAUAUUUUAUUAUUAUUUAUUGAAAAGAUAAGACUGCAAUAAUUAUUAUUUAUGUUUCCUUUCAAAAACAUAACAGCAAUUCAAUUUAAUAAUGAAAAGAUUUGAUUAAAAUAAUGUUAACUUAUUCUUAUUUGAUGAGUCUUUUGGAGGAAAUUGUAUUUUUCUAUCCACUUAUUUGCCACAUCAGUAAGCAAAUUUAUAUUUGAAGACUAAAAUCUAAAAAAUCUUUUGGAGAUGCUCUUACUCCGGGUCAAACCCCGAAGCUUUAGAAAACGAUGCCGUUUUGAGAAUUAAUUUUUUUGAUUAAAAAAAUGCUAUUUGCACGCACCCACGACUUAACUUAUACUUUCUCUUUUCAUUUUCGUUUCCUCUUUCUUCCCAACUACAAACCCCCUUAAAUGUUUCUUCAACUAGCAAAAGGAGACUGCACCAUGAGCAAUUUAUGAAAAAGAAAGUAAGAAGGUAAAGUUCAAACUUUCAAUUACAGAUUUAUGAAAAGGGAAAAAACACCUGCACAUUCAUAAUCUUCAAAUUUUGUCAUCCUCAUCUUCAUGACAUUACACUUCGUUGCUCAACACAAGUGUCAAAAGAAUCAACUCAAAGUCAAAGUUUUUUGAAUGAUUCAACUGUUCUUUCAAUCUGAAUUAUAUUCACAAGAAAACCCAACAUCUCCAUUUUUCAUUGGUACAAUAAACCCAAACUCUGAAGGAUUAAAAUCAACCAAAGAUUGAAGCAUUACCUCAAGUGCAGAAGUAUCACAUUGGUGUGGCCGUUGCGUGAUGGCUGUCGUUGGUGGUAGUGGCGGUGGCUUAUUUGCAGGCGGAUUGUGGAUUAUGAAUAGCUGUGAGUUGUGCGUAAUUUCACACGUGAUGGUUGUGAGCAAGGAAAGAGGAAAUAACUUGGGCUGUGAGCAAGGAAAGGAGAAAUAACUUGACAAAACAGUGCGUUUUUUCCAUUGAGUAAAACAACGCAUUUAAUUUGGGGUUUGACCCGGGACAAAUAUCAUUUUCCUUUGACAUAAUGCUCCACUUCGUCCAGAAAAACCUAACAAAAGAACUAAACUUGAAGUGUCGCAAAAGACUGAGAUGGAAAACAAAAUGGAAUUCACCGUAUUUUUAUCACGUUCGGCUCGACAAAACAAAAAGUAAACUUAUUCAUAAAUGCAUAUAUUAAAAUAGUUAUAUAAAUAAUAUUUAACUGAAAUUAGCCCCGAAAAAAAUAAUAAUAAUAACUGCCCAUUAUGGGUAGAGCAAAUUGAGUUUAACAAAUUUGAAGCACAUGCCACCACACACUCUUCCUGCAACCAUGGUAUUAUUGUUUAAUGGGGCUAUUUCAGAAUUGAGACGGACAAGGGGUGGGUGAUUUUAGAAUUGAUGGGGGUAUUCAGAAAGAGGGAUGAACCCGAUUGACGUUUCCGAGUUCUAAUUGGGGCAAAUGUUUUUCUUCUUCUCGGAGCUGGUUGCAUGUCUUUGUUGUCAAAAUGGGCUUAAAAUUGGAGUUUUGUUUGGAUCAGUCUUUAUUGGCCCAACGGGUUAAGCAGGUUUUGAUUUUAUAAAACGAACAAAUAACGUCACGUAAUUUAUAUGCAAUUUCUUCGGAUAAAAAUAUAUUUAAUUCUUAUAUUUUAAGAUUAGUAUCUAUUUAGUUCCUAUAUUUUUAAAAAUACCUCGAAACAUCCAUGCUGUUAAAGUAUUGAUACUCCUACCGUAAUUUUUUAUUUCUUUCGACUUACUUUUACAAUAUUACAUUUUUAUAAUAAUUUUUUGUUUGGACAUUAAUAAAAAAUAAUAAUUAAAUUACCAAUUUAACCCUAAAAAAAUUAUAUUAAUUUUUAAUUGUCAAAAAUUGUAUGCAAACUACCAAGUGUGCAAAUGGUGCUAAAAAAAAUUAAUAUAUAUAUUUUUUAGGGUUAAAUUGAUAAUUUAAUUAUUUUCUUUUUAUUAAUGUCCAAAUAAAAAAAUUAUUAUAAAAGGGUAAUAUUGUAAAAGUAAGUCAAAAGAAAUAAAAAGUAACGGUAUGGGUAUCAAUACUUUAACGGCUGGGAUGUUUCGAGGUAUUUUUAAAAAUGCAGGGAUUAAAUGGAUACUAAUCUUAAAAUGUAGGGAAUAAAUGAGCUUUUACCCCAAUUUCUUCUAGUGAAUGAUCUUUGGCAAAUAAUUUAUCUCAUCAGCGUGUACUUCUCAAUUAAUUCUAUUUAUUUUUAAAAUUACCAUUAUUCAUCACUUUUUUUUUCUUUUAAUAUCUACUCAAGUUCUUCGGGUGACCUUUCUAAACCAAAAUCUUCAGUUGUUAAUAUGACCUUUUUUAAACUCACUGUGAUACUGUAAAAAGCAUGUUAAUGUUAUUCUAUCUUAUGUUUGAGAUCUUCAAAAUUGUGAUAUGCGACUAAAAAAAUCUUUUUCUUUGAACCACAUGUGAGAUAUUUGACCCAUAUGUCGAAUAAGGACCACAAAAAAUUACAAAUUUUUAAUUCGGGUCUAAAAAAGACACUUGAAGAACUUGAAUAAGACCUGUUAGAAAAAAUGAUAAAUAAAGGUAAUUCUAAAGAUAUAUGUGGAUAACUAAAGUUGAUGAGAUAAACUGAAGGAUUAAAUAUCACUCCUCUUAUCCUUUUUUCUCAUUUUGAUAGUUUUCAUCACAAGUUUAUUUGAAUAAUAAUAAUUCGCUUCAAUGCGACCUAACCUUUAAUUGAAAUUUUUCGAUUGAAAAUUCACUUGUUUUUUAUUGAAAAUUUUGUUUCCUUUAUUGAUAACCAAUCGGUGUGAUUUGAUCAGCUUUUAAGUUUUAACCACUGAUUCAUUUUUGUUUUUAUUCGAAGUGUUCAUGUAAACUUAAUUUUGGAUUUGAGGGGCCAAAAUGCCAAUUAAUAGCGCAUGAUUGGACAAAUCAUAAUGCUAGCUUGAGUAAACACACUUAAAGAAAAAUUUAUUUUUGACUGUUAAGUAGAUGAGAAAGAUAAUAAUUGUGUUUAUAGCUUUAUAAUUUCAUUCAAAGGGGGAAAAUGAAAAGGCAAUAAGGUCAUGGUUUGUUAUGAUAGAGUCAUAAAUUAUUUUAUAAAAUCUGAUAUGUAAAAAUAUUAUUGAUUGAACUAAAAAUAAAUUAAAUAGGUCAUUUUUUGAUGUUCUAAUCCAACUAAUAGUGUUACGUCAAUUCUAUUCAUACAAAAUAGUUUAUGCAAAGAAUUUAUAACUUUAAUAGUACGCUACCUAUCAAUUUUUAUUAGUUUGGGUUUUCAUUUAACUAAUAUAGUUAUACCACGGUACCACCUCACAAAAUGUUUAUGUCUCUAGUAUUGUUACUUUACCAAAAAAAUAAAAAAUAAAAAUAUAUUCAUUGUGGUCUAUAAUUAACUGUCAAAUUAUCUGUUUCUUUAUCCUUUAAUCACUUCGUGACAUAGUGCUGGUUAUAGUGGUGCGCACAAUAAUCUGGCUCAUGACUUGAUGCUAGAUUAAUACUGUUUAGAUGGGGCCGGACCAUAUCUGUGACAUAUCCAGAAAAAUAACUUAUCAGAUUAAAUUACAUAACAACAAAAUAUGAAAAUUAAGGGGAUAAAUUAAACAAUAGUAAACCACUUAUAUGGGUUAAUGUGAGUUUUAUUUUUUAAAAAAAAAAAUUAAAGCGUGGGCUUUUAUAAUUUUGAAAAUUAAAAUUAAAUUUUAUGGGCUUAUGAGUUUAUAGACCUAUUUUUAUAAAUUUAAUGGAGGCUACUUUAAUACAUUUAACAGAGACUAAUUAAUAAUUUAAGUAAUUUUUUUUGAAAUUAUAUUUUUUCAAGUCUGCACUAGUCAUGAGGUGGAUUCGCAUCUAGGACAAUAUCUGUUCCCUUAUUUUUCUCAACAAUUUCAUGAAUAUAUUUAUCUAGCCAUUGUUUGUAUGAGAUCUUAUUCACAGCAAUGGUGAAUCAAGGAUUUUCAGCUGCAACCGCAAAGACAUGUGUGAGACAUGUUCCUCGCAAAAAGUUUUUUGAUUGACGAAACAAGGAAAUGGGAACAGCUUUUCGUGUGCUUUUUCAAAAAUCACUUUUCUUUUUUUGACUUUUACGAUUAGAGGUUUGAUUAUGUUCCAUAUCCACAUAUCACAUCUAGGAAUAGCCAUAAGGAGGGGAAAAGGAUCGGCAUCCGUACCCAUCUCUGAUACUCUGUUUAUAUGUUUCUAUAUCUCUUGUUCUUUUCAAAAUUAUUUGAGAGGAGGAUGGGAUCUCAAAUAAUAAAAGGAGAUUUUUGAGGAUAAUCGAUCUCUAAAUAGCUAAUACUUUUACUUUCCAAUCCUGAUUUAAUCAUGCUAAAGUAAAAGUACAAAAUCAUAUUACCAAUACAAAAAAAAAACUAAAAUAAACUACAGCAAUUAAAAUCAUUUUCAUCAAACUAAGUCAAUGCUAUCAAUAUUACAGGAUAAUCUAUAAAGUUAAGCAAAAGUAGAGCUUCCUAAUUGAACAAAUCCAUAAAAAUCACAUGGCAUAAAUCAUCAACAAAAGUAUCUUCGUUAAUUUUUAAGUGUUUACAUUACUUAUUAUUUUUAUAACUAUUAUGACAUUUAUUAUUUACAUCCAUAUCAUUCUAAUUUAAAUUUAAGUGUAUUUACUAAAGCUUUUAGAAGAAAUAAAAUAAAAUAAAUUAAAAUAGAUAUGGGGAAAUCAGGAGAGGGUGAGGAUUUCACCAAUUCUUUUUCUUUUUCUUAAAUGAAAAAUUACAUAUAAAAUUAUUUUCAUACCCUCUCUAAAUAAGAAAAAUUCAUCAAAUCUGUACCGCGGGAAUUUUUGUCAUCCCUCGCAUCAACGAGUUUACUAGAUUUCCUCCAAAUUAAUGACUCUUCCAUCAAGUAAGAAAGAACCUGCUACCCACCACUCAUUUAUUCAAAAGAAUAUGAAAAGGUCUUCAGGAUAAAAGUAUAACAUUGGGAAAAGGAAUAAGGAUAAUGCAUUGAAUCUUAAUUUAAUCAAAUGGGAUUUUACCUAACAUGCUAUCCUCAUAGAUUAAUUUGGGAUCCUUAUUAAAAAGUGCAACUUAAUUAUUUUACUUACUACUUAAAAACUCCAAUCCCCCACCAACAAGGUGUUGGUUCAGCUGGCGCCGGCUGAACCCUUUAGGUGACUCGAUUAGGUUUGCUCCCUAGUUUGAGUCUCCUGGGAGUCGCCCUCAUUGGGAGGGCUUUAUUGGUACCCGGCUCGAAUCCGGAGUAGUCGGGGCCCAAUGUGAUCGCCGGACACCGGAUGGUUAAGACAAAAAAAAAAAACUCCACGUAAAAGAUUGAAUUCGCUUAAACUUUAAGAUGCUAUAUAUCAACAAAAUAACGUACAUUAGGAUUAACUAAAGUAGGAUAUUGAUAAUAUUAUUCUUGUGGCAUUUAAUUUACUUUACUUCUUUACAUCAAAUUAUGCCUCUCCGGCAUAAUUUGUUUCAUAGUAUUUAAAUAACACAAAAAAGAAAAAAAAAACAUUUUUAUCAUAUAAUUAAUUAAAGUAUGCUUUCAUUGAUCUCCAAUGAUUUUGAAUUGUUAAAGCCAUAGUGAUUGGUGAUGAUGAAGCCCUCUCCAUUUUUCUCAUUCUGCUGUGUGUUCAUUGGAGAUGAAUUUUUAGAAUGCCAUCUUGACCAAAAGAGAUAGUUGAUGAAAUUGAGGAAGCUGAGGACUGCUAGCAACCAGUAGAAAAGAUCAAGCCUGUCUUUGUUGAGAUCAUUUUCACUUAGCCAACCUCGAUUUGAAGAACUUGAAGUCACCUUGUUUACCAAGGAAACCAGCAAUGAGCUUAAGUAGAAUCCAAAUGAAUAUGAGCAAUAGGUCAUUGCUGUUAAAAAUGCUUGCAUCCCUUUUAAGGAUUGUUUGUAGAAGAACUCAAUAAGGCCAACUGCUGUAAACAUUUCUGAUAAUCCGAAAAUCAGGAACUGAGGGGUGAUCGAAAAUAUUGAUAAGGUUUUGCCUGAAUCCAAUGCUGAGUCUCUUCUUUUUUUCUCCAUCAGGGCAGCAGAAAUCAUUGAAAAUGUUGCCAAAAAAAGGCCAAACCCUAUGCGUUGCAAAGGGGAGAUACCGGAUUCAUGGCCUGUGUAUUUUCUCGCGAAAGGUACGAAAAAUUUGUCGUAUAAUGGAACUAGAAUGACAAGCAUAAUGUAAGGGAUCGAUUGAAGGGAAGCUGGAGGGACAUGGAAAUUUUUGGUGAGCUUAUUGUUCAUGGCACUUCCUUGCUGGACUGAAAACGUUUGAAGCUGAGCCAAUAUGGUGUUGAAAAUAAUGGUGCAAGCGAAAAUCGGAACAACUGAAAUCAGUACUUUAACUUGCUCAACUUGAGUGACUGUGCAUAAUCUCCACGGACUUUCUUUUUUAUUAGUCCCAUCUUCAACUUUGAUGCAAGCUUUAUCCAAGAACCUGGAAAUUUUGAAAGCAAUCGGGGUCUAAAUGCAUUCUGUAAACAAUAUUUUUAAUAAAACAAUAAAUAUGGGAUGUGAAAGGUGUUAAUUACACUUUCAAGAUUAUUUACCUGAAUCUCUGUGUAAGAAAUACACUUCCAGAGUCAUUUGGCACAUUGUUUUGAUUUAAUCCAUGAAGCAUUUGUGGGUUAGAUGGACAAAUUUGCUUUCUCUUUAACAUCGCUGCCACAAAAACCUGUAAACAAAAAUUAUAAAAUUAACACAAGAAAAUGUAAUUAUUCAGCAGAUUAUGAUCCGUUGAGGAUAAAAUAAUUAUUAAUUCUACGACAAUAUAAUACAUUGUAUAGACAACUUUUUUACGACACUAAGUCAGCAGACAGCUUUUCAUUUCUUGUCUAGAUAACCUUAUAUUAUUCAACAUGCACCCAUUAGUAUGUUACCUUUUUAAUUUUUUAUUGCCAUAAGCAAACAAAUUUACAUACAAGAUUUGGUUUUUGGGAACAUGCAAUCAAGAUCAAAAGAAAUUAAAUUGCAUAUUCAUUGUAUGCUAAGAAAUAAAAGCGCUUGCUUAUUACUUGAGCUAUGGGGGUGAAAAUGCUUCCUUGAGGCCGUUUGUUUCUGUAGUAAAGUGUGCCAGAAACCACGCUGAACAAGCCCAAUGCCAUGGCAGCUGCGGAGACUCCGAAGCCAACGUCCAUGCCGGAGUGAGUUUGUACCCAAACAAGAACAGUUAGGGCUACCAAUUCACCUGUGGAGAAGGCAAAAUAUGCAGCAUUAAAGUAAGAUGAGAGCUUCUUGGACUGCUUAGGGUUGCUUUGAUCAAACUGGUCAGCCCCAUGAGCUAUCAUGUUGGGUUUAACACACCCACUGCCUAUUGCCACCAAAUACAAUGCCAAGAAAAAUAUUGAGGCCUUAAAUCCCUUUGCUUCUUCACAGUUUUCUGAAUCUGUUACCAUGUUGCAUUUGGGUGGCUUUAGUUGAGGAAGGUGAGCUUGAACUGAAAGCAAUAUGAAACCCUGAAAAUUAUUUGCAUUAGAAUCAAAAUCAUUAUCAAUUUUCGUUAUCCAGCAAUAGUAUGUGUUUGUGUAUAUAUGACAUAAAUGUACUAAUUAUAUACAGAUAAUAUAGUAGCUCUGAUGUAUUCUUAAAUCCGCUAUCUGUACGUACAUGCAUGGAAUCAUGUUGUAUAUAUAAAAACACUCACGUGCUUUGAUUCCAAUGGCUAGUUGUACUUGUAAAUACAUCCUAUAUGCAGAAGAUAUAUAUAAUAGAGAGAGAGAGAGAGGAAAAUGGAAGGGUUGAAUUUGAAAGAGGAAAAAACUUACAGAAAGUUCAACAAAGCCAAAGAUAAGCAUGGUCCAGAAGCUACCAAGAAAAGAAUCAGAAAGAUAGCCACCAAGGAGGGCCAAGAGAAAGACAGUUCCAAUAAAGUUUGUCACAAUAUUUGCGGAAUUUGACAAAGAGAAGUGCAUUUCAUUUAUCACAUAUGUUAUAAGGUUGUUCCCAACUGCUGCGAUUGCCAUAAUCUCAAAUGCUUGUAAACCUGACAAUAUUAUUACACAAUUCACAAUCAAAAACCUUAUCAUAAUUUGUAAAGAAAAUAGUGGGCAGUCACAAUAAUUAGAGAGAGAGUUUAAACCGAUAAUAUAUAUAAUUUUUCUUUCUCAAAAUUUAUUACACCCACUAAUAUGAAAAAUAACUUUAUCAAAAAUAAAAUAAAAGAAAAACCAUCUUAAGAAAAAUUCUCAAGAAAAUUACUUUCAAUCCUCUAGCAACCACCAGAAACUAUAUAUAUACAUGAUGCACUAUAUGUAAAUUAAUAAAUAUGCAUGUUAAUCUACUACGCAAGCAGGCAGAUAAAUAGAUAGAUAGAUAGAUCGAUAUGUCUAUAUGUAUGUAUACAAAGAGAUACCAAGAACGAAAACAGCAGCUUUCAUUCCUCCAUGCUUGUUAGGGUUUGAGGGUCUGCCUUUCCAAUCAACAGUGCUCUCUUCAACCUCCGUGCCUUUGUUGUUGUUUUGCCUUCUUGCUUCCAUUUCCAUUUUGUUUUUCUCUCUCUCACACAGAAACUCGCAGUUUCUGUUUUCUCACACUCUAAGGUUGAGAGAAAGAAAGCAAAUAAAAACUUUGCAAGUAUUUUAGAAAUUGUUGUCUUACUCUAUGCUGAAAUUGAGGCAUGUGGGUUGCUCUAAAUUUAUAAUCUCCAAGUUGCCACAAAUUCCUUACAAGAUUCUUUGCAAAAUCAAAACUCAAUGAGAAUUUCAAGCCCCACAUGCACUCUCACCACGUGGAUAACACUUGUUCUAGACAAAGAGUAGACGAUUUUGCUAAUUUUUUUUUUUUUUUUUUUUUUUUCAACUUUUUUUUUUUUUUUCAGUUUUUCAACUUUUUUUAAAGGGUAUUUGAAUCAUAUUUUCAAUUCAUUGAAUGUCGUGUCAACGAUUUGUAAUUUUGCGUUGGAUAGAGUUGACAUACACAUAAGGUUUGCUUCUCGGCCUCUCUUUGAUUGGUGGUCCAUGCCAUAUGCCCCUAUGUAUUGUUUAAUGUAAUAUUCUCCCCUUUUUUUAAUUCAUUUAAGAUUAUAUCAAAUCAUUUUCAAUUAAUUUUAGACAUGAUUGAUUUAGUUUAAUCUUUAAAAUCUUAAUAUAAUAAUCAAAUUUAUUAUUACUUAAAAUCACAUAUAGAAAGGACUACAGAUUCGCUAAGAAACUAAACAGAUUCAAUUAAAUAAUUGGCGAUUGAUUAAAAAGAAAAAAGAAAAAUAAUAUCAUACAAGUCAUAUCAAUUACCAAAUGCAUAUAGCAGUGUCCUCUACCAUAGUAAAUGUUAUCUCAACGAUUUGAGCUCCUUGUGUUUUAUAAAAAUAUUUUUUUGUUCUUAUUUUGAAAUUGGCUUACUUCUCUUUCAUUGGAUCAUAUACUUUCAGCUAUGUCCUAACAAAUUUAAUUUUCUUUUUCCCCAAAUAUAUGAGCGGUCCAAAUCAAUUUUUUAACACUACGUCAUUUUAAAAUUAGAAUUAAAAAAUUAGAUUUAACUUUACCUAUUCCAUUUGAAAAAAAAAAAAUCAAAUGGAAGGAUUCAAAAUGCGUACUACUGUCUACAUAACACAUAAAAAAAUAAAUAACAAAUAGUACCAAUUUUAAAAUAGAUUAAAUUUAUUAAUUAUCUAAAAUCUUCCAUUGAGGUAUAUCCUAUGCCGACCAUUGAUAUUCAAAACAUUUAAACUAAAAAACGAAGGGUUAGGUGUGACUUUCACUACACUUGGUGGAAAAAAAAACAAUGAUUUGUUUAAUUAAUUUAAUAAAAAUAACAAAGAAUAUUUAAUUUGAACAUAUAACUAUAUAAUGCUGUGUAUGAUUUACUGAUGCGGGUGAAAUCAAAGACAAAGAAACCAAGUCAAAAGGUUGUCGGCCUUUAACAACAAAAAGUUUUGAAACACUAUAAUAUUCUCUUCUUUUUUUUCUUUUUUGGUUCAUAAGGGUUUGAUUUAUUUUUAUUUUGAUCACAAAAAAUAAUAAUAAUAAUUUGAAGAGUUUUAAGUUUUAAAUAUGAUAUUGUAUAAAUUUUGUAAUCGGACGAAGUCUCUUUUCCAAGGCCAGUAUCAUGACUUUCCUUGUAAAAAGUGAAUCAUAUCUACUUAUAUGUUUGGUCGUUGCCAUUAGAGCAUUGUCAAAGCAAAACAUACAAAACAUUCCAAUAAGAAAUGGAAAUAAAGUGAUAAAACUUAAGAUAAAAGGAUUUAGAUAUAAAUUUACUAUAAAUUAUAAAAGAAAAUUCUACUUACUUCACAAGAUUCUUAUUAUAUAUAUAAGAUGAGUUGAUCUAAUGAACACUAGUAUAUAUCCACCAAAUAGAAAACAUUUGGAUAUGUGAUAAAAUUCUGUGACUUCCUAUAAAUAAAAUUGAAGCUGUAGAUUAAUUAAACUGUGCUUGAUAGUGUUGUGCACCGGCAAGCACAUCACUUGCCAGAUCAAUAGUAUAUAUUAUAUUCCAAUUUUUUCUACUUAUAAGAUUAAUUCUUGCUUCGAUUAUUUUUUUCAGCAACAUGGAAGAAACUUAUUGGUUUGUCGGCAACAAAAGGUGUUCAAUAUUUUCAAGUGCAUGCCAACCUAAACGUAUGUAGAUGCUGUAUUAUUGUAUGCUAUGCUUUUAUUUUCAAGUACAAUGAAAGAAGCUAAAGUGUUGGUGGACAUUGCGGGAGACAAAGUGGAGACAAAUGAAUUAUAAUCCUCUGUGGAUCCCAUUUUCCCCAUACAGUGGGCCCUUGAUCAAUCCUAUGAUCACCCACUUUGAGAUUGCCACGUGUCCUCAAUUUCGUCAUUCUUUCUUUGCAUAAUAAUGAUACUGACACUAGUCAAACCUUGCAUUAAUACUGAACACAAUUUAGGAAAAGAGGCACUUCCUCUCCUUUCAAGUGAUCAACUCAAGAGGAUUCCCGCAUUGCCAACAAUUUUGACUCCAUUUAAGUUAAUUAACAAUUUAUUAUUAGCCUGGUUUCUUUAAUUUUCUAAAACAUUUGAAGAUAACAUAAUUAAUCUCUAUCUUUUGACUUUUUACGAUAUGAAGGAUAAGUAAAAAAUCUACUUAGAUUUUGAAGAUCAAGUUAAAAAAUGAUCCGCUUGAUAGGCAUUUGAUUAUGUGGAGGUAAUCCUUAACAGCAAAAAAGAAACUAGCGCAAACUCACCUCAAACCAAAAACAAAAUUACGAAAAAAUAAAGGUCUCAAUUGAAAUUUCACCACAUUUACAUGAAUUUUACAUGUGGCCCCUUUAAUUUUACACAAAUAUGUUAUAGUCUACUAUAUUUAUAAUCUCUCCAGUAUAAACUCGAUCAAACCAAAAUCUUAGUUCCGCUACUGGCUUAUGGCUUAUAAAUACUUAGAUAACAAUGAAUUUCAUUAAAUUUAAAUCCAACAUAUAGAUCUCUUGUCUUUAAUCAGUCGUAAUGAGAAUACUAUAUUGAUAUUCAUUAGAUGAUUAAUCAUCUAAAGAAUAUACAUUUUGAUAUAUCACCAACAUUUGGGGUUAUAUAUAUAUUUUUUAAUUUAGUCAAAUAGCCUUAUUUAUAUGUGUUUUUGACAUGUCACUCCUAUUCUAUUGGUCUAAUUUCGAAGAUUGAGUAAGUGAAACGAUUUAUCUAUAUAAUGCCCUCUUUUAGUGGAUUUCCUGUUAUCAAUAUUAUACAUAUCACCUUCAAUCCGUAAAAUAAGUCAAAAUGAACUUAGACACACGCCCACAAAUGAAAAUUCAACAUUUUGGAGCAAUGAGUUAAUCAAAUCGAAGCAACAAACCAUUUUCAAAACUCUUUUACUAUUUUAUUGAAAUAAGUCAAAAAAGCAAUUGAUGGGUUGGUGGUUGAGCACACCAUACAUAGAACCUCAAGCCCUCUUUCUUCUUUUAUGUCUUCCUUUUACUUCCUUUCUUUUCUUUUCUGUUCACAUACCAUGUCCAUGCCCACAUUCACAAUUCCACAGUAUAUUUUAAAAAAUUAAAAAUUAAAAAAAGGAGGGCAUUUGGUACUAUUUGGGUUCAACAUAUGGCUUAAUUUAUCUUUUAUCAUCUAUUAAAAGACAAAAGUCUAGCCAAUCAAUUUAAUUAAUUAAUUAAGAAGUGAAAGUGCACUUUGAGUUUGGAAAAUUGAAACAUUAAUUGUCCUAAUGGAGUAGCCAUGUUCAUAUUGAAUUUUGUAGGCUUUGACAUUGUUUUGUAUAGUCUUUAAUUCCGUUUGGUUUGCCGACAAAAUUAAAGAUUUGAUGAGGCAUGCAAUUGCUACUUUGUCCGGAUUUUCUCAUACCCACUAAAUUUUACUUAACAAUAUUGGCCAUCUUCUUGAUUAUUCUGACAUAUUUGGGUCAAAGACAGUGUUAUUGCUUUAGCCUUUUUGGCUCCUUAUGGAAAUUAUUUUUAUUUCCCAAAACAUUCCAUAAAAUUGUUUAAUUCGCUGCAUUUCUUCAAGAUAUAUAAGAUAUAUGAUGAUAAAAUAUCUCAAAUGACAAAAAAAAAAAAAACUCUUAUAUUUGGUGCUUUUUAUCCUACAAGAAAAUUUAAAAAAAUGCUAUCGAGUUUUUUUCACUCUAAAAUUAUAGCAAGAAAAUACUUUUGGUUUGAAAAUACUACAACUUAUAAUCAUAUACUAGUAUACAUAGAAGGGGUGUUUGGCAUCCCUAAUUACAUACGUGAUGCAACCCUAGGUUUAGUGUAGUAAGUGGCCGGAAGUGGGUCAGCUAAUGCGGCAGUGGCUGCGUUAGCUUCCCUCUUUUUUUUUUUCUUUUUUUUUACUUUUACUUUAUUAUUAUUAUAAUAAUAAUAAUAAUUAUUAUUAUUAUUAUAAUAAUAAUAAAGUAAAAGUAAAAAAAAAGAAAAAAAAAAAGAGGGAAGCUAACGCAGCCACUGCCGCAUUAGCUGACCCACUUCCGGCCACUUACUACACUAAACCUAGGGUUGCAUCACGUAUGUAAUUAGGGAUGCCAAACACCCCUUCUAUGUAUACUAGUAUAUGAUUAUAAGUUGUAGUAUUUUCAAACCAAAAGUAUUUUCUUGCUAUAAUUUUAGAGUGAAAAAAACUCGAUAGCAUUUUUUUAAAUUUUCUUGUAGGAUAAAAAGCACCAAAUAUAAGAGUUUUUUUUUUUUUUUGUCAUUUGAGAUAUUUUAUCAUCAUAUAUCUUAUAUAUCUUGAAGAAAUGCAGCGAAUUAAACAAUUUUAUGGAAUGUUUUGGGAAAUAAAAAUAAUUUCCAUAAGGAGCCAAAAAGGCUAAAGCAAUAACACUGUCUUUGACCCAAAUAUGUCAGAAUAAUCAAGAAGAUGGCCAAUAUUGUUAAGUAAAAUUCAUUUGUUAGUGAAUAUGUUACAAUAAUUGUAUCACUUUAUUAAUUUAUGAUUAUCUUGUGGCAUGUAUAAACUUUUAUUCUAUCAUCCUAAGAUGACUUUUGAAUUAAUCUUGCAGGUUUAAAUCAUUUAUCUACGUUGUUAUAUUAUUUAGAUAUUAUUUGAUUAAAUUAUUUACUUCGAUCUUUAUUUCACAAAUUAUAUGUUUAGAAAAUACUUCAAAAUAAAUGUCAUACUUCAAAAUUUUAAGGCUAUAAGCUUCGGUCUUUAUGAAGAAAUUAUGAUAUUUUUUAAUGUUUACAUAAAAAUAUUGUUAAAUUCUAAAAUUUAAGGCUUCUAUAUUUAUUAUUUUUCUAAGUACUAAUAAAUAUUAUUUUCUAUAUAACUUAAAUUAAUCACAAAAAGAUUAAUAUAGUACAGUGCAACACUAAAUAUAGUAUAAUUAAAAAUUAAUAUAGUAUAUUGUAACACCAAAGUGAAUAUGUUACAAAGUAAAUAUAGUAUAACACUAAAGUGAAUAUGUUACAAAGUAAAUAACACCAAAGUAAAUAUAGUAUAACACUAAAGUGAAUAUAUUACAAACAUUGUAUGGCAUUGUCAUAAUAUAGUAAUAAUACAAUAUAAUAUAAUACAAUACACUUAUGUUAAAAUAAUGCAAUACAACAUAUUACAAUAUAAUAUACUAAACGCACCCAUAACCUCUUGCCUUCAAGGUUAAACUCCUAAAUAAAAUUAUUUAACUAACAUGAUAGUUAGAGAUGCAGGUUUGUCCUCAUGGUCUGCGUUCAAAUCACCUUAUCAUGCACACAUUAAUUUAUAAUUCACGCAAAACGAAUUAAUGGUCCGAGUUUUAUUGAUAUUUAGAUCUGUCUGUGUCUUAUAUAUAUAUAUAUUUGAAAGGGUGUCUUAUUUAUAUUUAGAUCCACGUGAUAAGCCAAAUCAUUUUGCACAUGUUCUAUUAGUACAUUUUUUUUUUUCAAGUAUUGUCCGAUGCCAACUUAAUCUCCUCUCAACCAAAGUGAUUGCACGGUUCAAAAUUCAAGCAUCUUGCUGUAACACUAGAUUUUGCUAGUUAAAGCAGUUAGCACCUUCUCUUUCGAUACAUGCAUGGGCCGGAAUUAUUAAUAAUUGAAUGAUAGAUCAUUUCUCUUCUUAUAUAACCUCUCUAGUCUACAUAAUCAUACACAAUAUAGGAAUAAUUUUCAUAUAAUUAUAAAAAAUUAUAAUCUCGAUUUGAAUAAGUUAUAAUUAAGAAUAAAUUUUAUAAUAUAGUAAGUUAUAAUUUUUAUAUAUCUUGCUUUAAGGACCUUAUCUUUCUAUAGUAAUAAUUAUUUGUAUAUUGUAAAAACUAAGGUUAUGUCAUAUUUAAAGUUUUAAGAUGGAAUACAAUAUUUUUCUAAAGUUGUUUGGGACAAUAAUUAACUCUUUAGACUUUUAAAAUUACUUUACAUAUUCCCAACACUAUAUAGAUUUGUACAGUUAUUCUUUAGUAAGGACAUCUUCAUUUUAACAAAGUGAGGAUGUCGAUAAAAUAUUAAAAAAUAUAUAUUUUAAUACAUUAGAGACUGUGUUUUUUUAUAUGUUAGUAUAUUAAAAGAUGUGUUUCUUUUGUUUAUUAGUGGCAUCCUCAUUUUAACAAAAUAGCGAUGCUCUUAUUAGAGAAUUAUUAUAAAUUUGUCUACUAGUAUUCUUAAACUAAGAUUAUCUCUAUAUAUACAUUGAUAAAACAUGCUUUAUUUUAUCAAUGUAUGACAUAUUUUACCUCUAUAUAACUUGCACUAAAAAUAAUUAAAUCAAAAUAAUAGUUUUUAAACUACACCUCUAUAAUAUUUUAACAUUCUUAUAAUUAUCGGAAGAUUUUACUGUAUAUAAAUUAAAAUUUUCUUUUAAAUAUUCAAAAAUAAAUGCGGUUGUCUUAUUACCGAAUAUUCAGAUUACAGCAUGAUAUAGAUCUGAUAUGAAAUCGAAAGAAAAGCUUUAGUGCAUGAUUAAAUAUUUACUGAAGCACUGAGCAUUGUUGACUUUAUUACAUAAUGCAAGUAAAGAAUGUCAAAGCCUUUGACAAUGGGCUUUGCCGUAGCUUUUUACACGCUAAGUGGAAACUUUAUUUGCCCCAAAUCCAAUGGUAAUCCGAAAUUGAUGGGAUCUCAAGUAAUCAUAAUUUUAGCCACUCGACCUUUGGCGGAGUGGUCAGGGCUGCUGCCCUCCAACUUGGAGGGCAGCAAUUCGAACCCCACAAGUGCAAUGUGGGAGUAUUUUCUUCCUCAAUUAUAAUUAAGUGAAUGUAGUCUUCUCUCUUAUCCAUGAGUGAGGAGUAGACAUCCCUCGAAUAUUAGUGAAGGUUAAAAUCUGGGCAGAGCUCCAUUAACAUUGAUGUAAGUCGGUCCUAGUAAUAGUCUGAUUUGUAAAUAUCAGUUAUAGUCCCAUGUAAUAUGAGUUGUAGUUUGAACAAUAGUCUCAUGUAAUCAAAAAAAAGUAAUCAUAAUUUUCACCAUGUACAUAACAAUACCUUUUAAAAUUCUCAAGAAAAUAUUUUGUUUAUGGGUAAUAAUUUACUUUUGGAAGCAAUAUAUAUAUAUAAUGGUAUUUUUACAAUUAUUUCCUAGAUAGAAAAUUCACACGGUGUUAAUGAAAAAAAUAAUUCGCUUAUGCAAUUCUAAAAUUUAAGUGGACUAGUGCUUAUGUUUUAAGAAUUUUAAUUUCUUUUUAACUAAAUAUUAAGCGGACCACCAAUAAUUUUCGUAUUAGAAACAUUUCUUGUUAAAUUUUGACUUUCAAAAUUAUUAUCAUACUAUUGAUUAAUUCUUUUCCUCUUCAAACCAAAGAAGUAAUCAUUAAUCUUUCAUCUCAAUUCAUGGUUAUAUUUCCCCAUCCAUAGUUGUGAAAUUUUUGUACUUUGGCUUCCAUAGCCACACAAUAUGGUUUUCGAGAGAAAUCCAUACAAAUUUUUUGAUGGGUAAAACUCAAAAAGGGUAUCAAUCAUGAUCUUAUAUUAGAUACGCAUAAAUCUAUAAAAGAAACAAUAAUCUUUCUUGAUGUGGACACAUAUAUUGAAGGUCUUAUAUCAAAUAUAUGUAUUUAGAUUCCAUUUGAGGAAAAAAACCAAUGGUGCUCAAACAUCUAUGGACCAAAACAAGCAUAUAAAGCUAGCUCUUACAGUCACCCUCACAAAGAAAGAUGUGGUUCCAGAAUGGUUGAGAUAUGGUACCAACUUGACUUGCGAGUCAUUGCUAUAUGAAAAUGAAAGUGAGUCUUUUUAUGUUUGUCACUCACUUAGUUUGGCUAUUAACAUCACCUUUUCGUUAAGAAAAAAUAGGAGCUUCAUGUUCAUUGCAUCUUCCAAUGUUCUCAAUUAUGGGGUCAGAGAAACUGAAUCUCUAUAAUGAAAAAGAAAAGGAAAAGUUUAUAAUGGCACAAGUCACUCGAUAGAUACGCAUUUGCUUAAAGCACCUUUCACUAAAAAUGCUUUCGAGUAUUUGGUCACUUAGGUUUUGGAAGGCAAAAGAAAAAAAAAAUCAAAUGUUCUUCAAAUUUGAUAAAAAAAAUUGUUUAAUUUAAAUUCUUAUUUUAAUAUUAAAAAGUCGUGAGCAUCAGUGUGUAGGAUCCAGAUCAAAGUGAUAGUCUCAUUUCCUUUAUCUAUGGUUCUUAAGAAAUGUCUCGAUUUGACCCAUUCCUCGAAAGAAGUUUUUACGAGAUCCCUAUGUAAAGAUUUUUACUCAUUUUAGACUUUUAGUCUAAAGCUAAAAUAAAUUUAAAAACCAAUUUCACAUCUAUCUAUUUGAUAUGAGAUGGAAAAAGAAACUCCAACAAUUGAGGAUUGAAAUUAUGAUAUUGUAUGUACUACAAAUAAAAUCAUUAAAGAAAAUAACAUUGACAGAAAACGAUUACACAUAAAAAUAAAAUAUAUUUUAAUAAUGUUGUUCUGUUUUGCACAACACUCUCUACCCUCUAAUAAAAAAUUUUAAUUAUUUAAAUUUUUUGUUUCUAACACCUCAGAUUUUAGGAUAAUAUACAUAUACUGGGGAAUAUAAACAAAGACUUAGGAAAUCAUCACUAAUAAAAAAUAAUUCCAAAACUUAAAAAGUUUUUUUUAACGUAUAGGAGGGAUAGGUGCAUUCACAAUUUUGUAUUGUAUUCAUCAUUCUCAUUAAAGUAAUGGCAAAUGACUCAAUUGAUAAGGAAUUCAGAUGUCCUCCAACACACGGUCUUAUUCGAUGGCUCAUUACUUGCUACGUAUGCCUUCUUAUGAACACAGAAAGUAGAAAAAUUAGGUGUGUUUCAACAAAUGAUGCUCACAAUCACACUUUUAAUCCGUAUUAAAAUUUAAGAACUCCUCAAAUUAAUACCAACGAUGAUCAGAUGAAAGUGAUUGCUCCCGUAACAAUGAACCAAUCACUCACAUUAACACUUCUUUCAAAUCUCACUCAAUUGAUAGUAAAAAUUGGCACCAAAGUGAUACAAUGGCUUAACUUUUGUAACCCUUGGCACUAUGUUAGAACUCAAAAUAGAAUGGAAGAAGAUUCUUAUCUCAGCAACAAGAAUCAAUAAAUUUGAUAAUUCUCUUGUUAUCUCAGUGUUCUCCAAUUCGGGUAUGGAGUAAACCACAAUGAUAAAUCUUAUUUUUCAAGCUACCCAACUACUUGUUUUACAACUUAUUAAAUAAUAAAGCAAAACAACGGUUAACUCUUAUUUUAACGCAACUACAAGCUACUAGUAAGAUAUAGAGAUUUUCCAGCACAAGACCCGAUCCUUUAUGCAUCCAACACUUGACCAAGCCUUUUAGCCCCCACAUCAUUAGUAUUGCUCACAUCCAGAAGUGCCAGAUACUUUGGAUUAGGCAUCCUAGCCCUAGUGGUUCUGCGAGGUUCAACACACCAGCAUCUCGUUAUUUCUUUUUCAAGAAGUACCAUGUUGCAAGAUUGAUAAACACUUCAAGAAAGAACAAAACUAAUUAAGAGAAUCAUAUUGAUACCUAAAAUAAACGUCAAGUGUCUUUAAACAGAUUCCUUAUAAUAGCAUCAAGAAGAGUUGAUUAUAUAAUAAAGUAUAACUAGUAAUUUUGUUGAGUGGUUUACAAGCAGUUUUAUUUCGCUGGUCACCCAAUUUAAAUUUUAGAGAAAUGAGUUAAAAAUUAAUUUGUAUUUUACUAAUCCUUCUACGUUUUUAAUAAAUAUUAAAAUUAGAAACAAAAAGUAUAAUUAAUACAAGAUAACUCCAAAUAGGCUCGACAAUCGGCCACAUAAUUUCAUUCCCGAAAAAAUAUUGAGAGUGAGGAAAUAAGAUACCAUGAUGUGCCCCAGCUCACGUUUGUUUGUGCCUAAACACAACAAAUCUUGGGUCCGAUACUGAAAAUUUUGGACCCAAAAACCUUCUGGGAAGACCCAAUACAAUAUGUAAUUGGGCCUAAAUCUGGAGGCCCAUCUCAAAAAGUAAUAUAAUAUCUAAUAAAAAUUUUAGCUUUCCUUCGAAAAGGGUUUCGAGUUUCAACUCCGAGAUAUAUAUCUCGCUUCAAUUCUCUUCAAUUUUGAGCUUGUUCUUUCGCUUUCUGUCUGUCUUGCUGUAAUUCCAUCUUCUUUAAUUUUCGAUUCACAAAGUUAAUCGAGUUAAUAAAAAUGCAAGGAGGAGAAGAGCUGAGCAUUGAAGAGCUCUUUUCAAAUCUUUCUACUUAUAAAGAGCAGCUUCAACAGGUGCUGUAUUGCUUGUGUUCUUAUAGUUUUAGUUUCGUGGGUGAAUUGAAAUUUUUAAUUUUGAUUUUUUUUAACUUAAUUUUGUAAAUUCUGUAAUGGGUAUCUGAAAAUUUGUGGAUUGGGAUUAGGUUUCUCGAGUUCUAUAGAAACGGAACUGAAUUAGGGUUUCUAAUGAUGAUUAUGGGGUUAUGAUUAUUCAUUAGUAUUUGCUAUUUGUUGAAUUGUUUGUAAAUGAAUAGUUAUGUAGUUAAGUAUGCUCUUUGUGAUUCUUAAGUAAUUUGAUGGUGAAUUAUCAAUUAAAUUAAUGGUCAAUUGCACACUCAGAAUACUUAUUGUAUUCUAGUUGGUUUAAUUUUUUGGGGCUACUGUAUUUCUUACCAUCAUAAGUUAAAAGUCGGCAUUCUGGGAUAGUGUGAUUCUUAUGAUGUAUCAUUAUCUUUUGCCUAAGUCACAAGCCAAAUACCUGUGUAUGCUAAUGUUACUUUUUGUUGUCUACAUAUUUUUCUUGGUAAUAACUUCUCUCCCAUGAUGUGGAAUUAGGUCAGAGAACUGUUGGUUCAUGAUCCUGGAAACUCUGAAUAUGCUGACAUGGAAAAGGAGCUGUCUGAGGUGACUCUUAUGAUUGUUUCCUUUUACAUUGUUCUCUCUUGUAAAAUUAUCUUUUUCGAAUUAUUUGCCUUCUCACAUAUUAUGAGUAUGUGGAAUUCUUUCCCUGUGAAUCUGUUGCUUAUGCUCAUAGUCAGGGUAGUGCAUUGGGAAUAGGUGGUAAUCAUGUAGCAGUACAAAUUCAUGAAAUCCCUUUAGAUGUCUAGGUUAUCUGUGUAGAUCUUUCUAUCAUCUCUCUUCCCUCUCUCUUUUGAAGGAUCGACAUGUUGCUCAAAGAAGCAACAAUUUAACUGCUAAUGGCUUUCGUGGAGAUUUAUUUUCAUUUAAGUGUUGAAAAGGUGAGGAUGGUUUUUAUGUUGAAUGAAAUAAAGUUCUUAUUCUCCGGAAAUGGGGACUUCACGCAGAAUGAAAAAAGAAUUGUUGGAGCUAUAUGUGAAAGUUUAGAGUCUCAACAAGAUGCACAUCACUUCUAUCUUGGUUCCUUUGCAGGUGGUGCUAUGUGUGGUGAUGACCAGUCUGCUUCUCUCUCACCUGAUUUCAGAUGUCACAAUGAGAUUCUAAGUUCGAAUUUUGACAAUGAUAUGCUCUUUACAAUGCUAGUUUUGUGUCUUUUUCUUGUAUCAUAUCUGUGCUAAAAGAUUUAAGAAUGCAGGUGAUUGCCUUGACAGAGGAACUCCUUGCAACUGCAAAGCAAAAUGCUAUUUCUGUAUCUGAAACUGGGACAAGUGCCAGUGCAUCUCCUAAUUUACUCCAGUCUAAGGAGAAUAAAACAGUAAGUUAACAUCCUCUGGAUGUUAUAUUGUUUUGUUCUUUAGAAAUAUGCUUUAUACUUUCAUGGUAGCAAAAUUCACGUUGACUGGUUUGGUAAAUAAUUUAUUUAUGAAAUUUACCAAAUGUAUACCUUAAUGGCUUAACUCUACCUGAGUUAACUUAUAUAGGCAUAUAUUUUUGUUUUUCAAUUACCUGGCUUUUAUAUAUAAUUGGCUUCUUGUGCAUUAUCAUGUUGCUAUGACAGCGAAAUUUGUUCGCUCAUGAGGGUUUCAGUAUCUGAAUUUUUAACGCUAUUGGCAGUGCUACAGCUGAAAAAAAAUUCUGUAGAACAUUUUAUUUAUCUUUUAUGAUAAACAUGAAUGCAUUUCAGCUACAUAUUGUACGAAUGAUGUCCCUUUUUACAUGUAGGAAUCAGGAAGCAUAUCUGAUAAUCAAGAGAAGCUUGCAGUGGGCACCAAAGUUCAAGCUGUAUAUAGUGAAGAUGGGGAAUGGUUUGUAUAAAACGCUGAACUAAUCUUCCUUAUGUUUUUGGAUUCUUUAUUUUCAUUUGCUUUACCUUCUUUUCCCUUUUUUUGAUUAGUUGAAUGUCCAGGUAUGAUGCCACUAUUGAGGCAAUCACGCCGAAUGGAUACUAUGUUACUUAUGACAGUUGGGGAAAUAAGGAAGAGGUAAUUGUCUCUUUAUUUUGGUUUGGUUAUUUAAUAAAAAGGAAGGUGGUGUCGUUACAUUUUAUUGGCUGCAAAUUCCAGGUGGACCCUGCCAAUGUAAGGCCUGUCAAUCUAUUGGUGGAAGCUGAGAAGGUAGCUGAAGCUACUAAACUAGCUAUCAAACGGAAGAUUGAACAAGCUGCUGCAUCUGACUUUCAGUCUAAAAGCUUGCCAGCAAAACUUCAUAUAAAUCCCGAUGAUCCGGAGGAUGUGGUAGGUGGUUUUCAGCAAAGCUUUAUUAUAUAUGUUUUCCGUCAAUUUCCUGCUUUCUUAUUCUCUAACAUGCUCCCUAAAUUAUUAGAUAAAAUGGAGCCCAUGGCUUUUGCCGUACCUUAUGAAAUCCCUCUUCUCACUUCGACGGAUUUAACUGAUGAUUUUCAAUCUAUGAUUUCUCGUCCUUGAAGAUGCUUUCUAACAGUUAUAUAUUCGCAGAAAGCGGCAAAGCGUAAGAAGAUACAUGCUUUUAAGUCAAAGAUGCGAUUCGAGCAACUUGAAGUAACCCAAAAUAAACGUCAAAAUGCAUGGCAGCAGUUCCAGACAACGAAAGGCAAGACUAAGAAGGUAUGAUGAUAGAUGUUUUUGCGUUUUCUGACUUUUCAACGUAUACUUAUUGGUAUUUCUUCUAUAUACACUCCCAGGUUGGUUUCUUCUCUGGGCGCAAACGAGAGAGCAUCUUCAAGUCUCCAGAUGAUCCUUAUGGUAAGGUUGGUGUAACGGGAAGCGGAAAGGGCUUGACAGAUUUUCAGAAGAGGGAAAAGCACUUACAUCUAAAGGGAGGUGGAAUUGCCGAUACUGAUGAUUAGACUCUCAAGUUCCCUUUUAAUCUUUCAUGUUUUUUGUAUACUUGCCAGGGACUUGUCCUAUUUACAUAAAGUAAAUGAGUUGCCUGUGCUAGGAUUUAUAACUCAAGUGAAUGUUCAGAUACUGACACUAUUUGUCUUCCGUCUAUAGAGAAGAUUUAAUUUUGUAGUAUUUAGUAGUAUUUUUUCUAUGUUCGACGCGAUGAGCCUGUUUUUGGUCGGUUAGCCAUUGUAACGAAACAGAGAGUACCAGCUAAACAUAUGCGAGACAGGAAUGAUAUUUCCAUGUUUUCAAUGUUGCAUUCAUGGGUGGAGAAAAUGAAAUGAGAUUAUAUUCUAUGGUCCAUCCGCAAUUUCAUUUUAAUAUAUUGGAGACACAAAUGAUAUUCCCCCUAAAUGUUUGCACAGCAAGAUCAAACGGACUAUAGAAUACAUUUCAUUGAUGCUCAUCAAAAUCUUUUACGUUAAAACGUUUGAAACUACUCAUUGGGUGAGUUUAAACCAUUUCCCCAGACUGAGGACCUUUUCAGAAGGAAAAUGAGAGCAAAGACGCAACAGAAACAGAAUUCACCACCACAUUACCGCAUUGAUAUUAUCUUCCAAUCACAUGUUACCAUUUGUGCCAUGAACUUAAUUUUACAAUGAUUGGUUUCACCCACAGCAACUUAUAAUUGGACUGUCCUGCCCCAUCAACAUGAUAUGAUUAAUUUCCUGUGAGAGAACCAAAUUAGAUUCCAUCACCUUAUAUAAGUUAAGCCAAUGCAAACUAAUUGGGUAUCAUCUGCCUCAAAUGCCGUAAGACAUCUGUUUUUCUAUUCAUGCAAAAAUGCAUGGUAAAAACUAGGUUAAAAUAUCACAAUGAAAAAUGAGAUCAUGAAACGAUGAGGGCAGUGGACUUGACCCUAUACAAUUAACACAAUCAUCAUGAGGUUCUUUUCUAUAAUAAGUUGCUGCUGCUGCUGCUGCUUCAAGCAAAAUUUUUAAAAUUAUCAAAUGCCCUUUGUACAUGUACAUCAAUCAAACAGGGACCAACUUUCCCACUUGAUUUCUCCCUAAGGGUCGUUCUCUGCAGGCCCCACAACAGGCAAUAUACUCCUCUUCAUUCCUUGUCGGGAGAGUUUGAUAUGUUACGGUUCAAUUGCAAGGACAAAUCGACUCACUCAUUCCGGAUGGUAUAAAACUUCUCCCAUAGCAUUGGUGAUUUCGAAAUUUCACUCAUAAGGCUCUUGAAUUUCAUGCUGCAAUCUCCUCCACUGCAAAACAAGUAUACACAAGAAGCUUCAUUGUAAGUAAACUGCUGUUGAUCACUCCAUUAAACUAAUCAACGAGCAAUGAUCGCGAGUAAGCUAAAUGAUAGCAGAAACAUGUGGCUUUAUUAACAAAGCAAAAAAACAUGCCUUAUUUGAUUCAAGGACGCAAUUGCUCGCAGUGCACUGCGAAUCAUGUCUUCAUUACGGUCUACUUCUUGCUUGACAGCAUCUUGCUUUGGCUUAAAAUUGAUAGUCUUUUGGAGAGGAUCCACCAAUGAGUCCAACACUGAAAGUAAUAAUAGUAUACAUGAGAUGAAGAAAAUCUGCAGCACAUUCAAGUCUCAGAACCUUUGAAUCAAAUUCAGUCUUCAAGUUUAAUCAGUUACAUUACUAACCUGCUAAUACAGCAGAUGGACAUUUAUCUGCUAACUUUGAGAGGAUAAGAUGACAAGGCAUUUUAACAUCAUAAUGAUCUGUAAGAGCAAGAGCAAAAGUCACAUUAGCCAAGAGCUAACAGCCAAAGCAUGUAGUGGAAAGAGGAAAUCAAUUAAAGACCAAUGUUCUUCAAAAUUAGAAGUUAGAAGCAAAAUGGAAUCGUCUUUCAAACUCAAAUGGUAACUUACAUGCAAAAAGC